AGAAAAUUUCUCGUAACUGCUACACAUUAAACGCGUUUCACAUUUCCACUCUCUUUCUAUAAAUAAAUACGCACAUAAAAUUUCUCACCAUCCAAAAACAAAAUCUACAUAAAAAAUGGCGGGUGAAGAAGCAGUGAGCAACAAGCAGGUGAUUCUGAGCAACUACGUGACAGGGUUUCCCAAGGAAUCAGACAUGAAGAUAAUAACAGGCUCAAUAAACCUUAAGGUGCCAGAGGGUUCAAAAGACACAAUGCUUUUGAAGAAUCUUUAUCUUUCUUGUGAUCCUUACAUGAGAGGACGUAUGAGCGAGCUUGAUAAGCCUUCGUUUGUUGCCUCAUUCGAGUCUGGCGAGGUCAGUUACUUCAAUUCCCAUCUCUUGGUUUCAUAAUCUUUUAUGGUUUUAGAAGGUGUUUUAGGGAAACAUUGUGGUUUUGGUUAGUGGGCAUGAGUCUUUGAAGAGAUUAUAAUGUGUAGGACUAUGCAUGCAAUAAUAAGCAUAGGGGAUCUUGUUAGGAGAAGAUUCUCUUAGCAAAAUAAAAACUUUUAUCUUAUCAAAACAUAUGCAGGGAACUUAGUUAUGAUGUCAUGUUAGCAUUAUCUCUGAGGAUUUGAUUUCUUGAUGGGGAAAGGGGAAUUUAAGGUUACAUUAUUCAGCAAUGUUUUUUUUUUAAAAAAUUAUGUUCAAAUUAUGCAGCCUUUAAGCGGAUAUGGAGUGUCCAAAGUGUUGGAUUCCACGCCUCCAAAUUAUAAGAAAGAUGACUUGGGUGGCGUUUGUUUUUUAACUUAAUGACUUAAAGUGACUUAACUUAAUUAAUUAAGUUAAUUAGAGAUGUUUGUUUUUAUAACUUAAUGUGACUUUUUAAAUAAUUUUGACUUAAUAAAAUAAGCCAAUUUUAUUUACUUUUUACUUAAUAGAGACAUCUGAAUUAAGUCAAGUACUUUCUAAUGUCAAAAAUAUACAUGCUUUAUAAUUUAUUUUUCAUGUCUAUCCCAAAACUCACCCAUAGACAUUUACCCCACAUAAUAAUCUCAUCAUUAUUUUUUUAGCCGUCAUGAAAUCCCUCCUCACUUUGGUAUCAACUCCUCAACUAUUGAAGAUCAAAAUUACAUGCGACAACUUCGAGAUGAAUGGCAAAUCAACUGUUUCAAGCAUCUUAUUCGUUUUUUUUCUUUUUUAUAUUAUAUACGAUAAAAUUUGAAAUUUAUGGUAUUUUAUAUAUUAAAAUUCCAAAAUCAUUAUAUAUUCACUUGAAUAUAGUUUUACUUAUAAAUGUUAAAAUAUUGUGAUAUUUAAUAUAUUAUUUAUUUGACAUUCAAAUUUAAUAAGGAUACAAAUGUAAAAGUACAUAUUUUUCAGUUUUUUAAGUUGAAAAAAGCAAACAACUUAAUAAUUAUUUUUCGAGAUUCAGACGAAAAAACAAACAUAUUAUUCAGAUUCAGACAUUCAGAUCUAUUCAGAAUUUAGACUAAUUCAGGUCUAUUCAGAUUUCAGAUAAAAAAACAAACGCCACCUUGGUCCGGGGCUUAACCAGUUGGGAGGAGUUCAGUCUCAUCCAAUCACCACAACUUCUGAUUAAAAUUCUGGAUACAAGUGUGCCUCUGCCAUAAUUAAUUGACAGGUUGCUAUGUUGUUGGAAGUGCCGGAAGCAAAGAAAAGGUGAGUUUGCACCCUUAACCCUUACGCUCUAAAUAAAAACAUAACACCUUCUGAAAGAAUUGUGCAUAGAGAAUUUUGCAUGUCACAUUAUUUGUGUUCUAACUAAUCAUGGAUAUUUGAUCAUUAGUCUAACUAAAACUGACAUAUUACCACCUAGUUGACUGGUCUUUGAGAAAUGUUAGUUGAUAUAUGCUUGAAAUCAUACUUGUUUUAUUAGAUGAUUAUAUUAACCUGCUUCUUUUUCUUUGUGCUGUUUCUCGUUUGAUUACAUUUUCAACAUUAGGUCGAUCUAUUGAAGCACAAGUUUGGGUUUGAUGAUGCCUUUAACUAUAAGGAAGAGCCUGACUUGGAUGCAGCUCUUAAUAGGUUAGCACGAAUGAAUGCUUUAACCAUUUUUCUCACUUCAUUAUUACAAUGCGCUGAUUGAAGUAAUCAGUGUUGGCUCUGAAAAUGUAACGUAUACUUCUCUGUUUUCAUAAAACAGGACAAACAGUGAUCAGUGAUCUCAUUCGUUACAUUGAUAUUUUCUACCAUUGCCAUACAUAGUAUAAACUAGGAAUUCAGUUGCUUAAUAGAUAUUCAUUUCAGAGGGAAAUUUUCACUUGCAGCUAACAGAAUCAUGUUUGUGAUGUAUGUUUAUUUGGGAAAUGAAAGGAUUUGUUGCAUUAUUUUAUUCCAAGUUUGCUGAAAUCAUAUUUGUUUUCCCAGGUGCUUUCCUGAAGUUAUCGACAUCUAUUUCGAAAAUUUUGGAGGUAAGAUGCUUGAUGCAGUGCUACUCAACAUGAGAAUUUGUGGCCGCAUCGCUGUAUGCGGAAUGAUCUCACAGUACAACUUUGAGAAGCCUGAAGGUGUACACAACUUGAUGCAAGUAGUUGGAAAACGAAUUCGCAUGGAAGGAUUUCUUGCCAGUGAUUUCUACCACCAAUAUCCAAAAUUCUUGGAACUGGUUAUGCCGGCAAUCAAAGAAGGAAAGUUAGUAUAUGUCGAGGACAUAGCUGAAGGCCUCGAGAAAGCUCCAUCAGCCCUAGUUGGGAUAUUCACAGGUCAAAAUGUUAAAAAACAACUGGUUGUAGUUGCUCGGGAAUGAUAUGAUUACUAUAUGCUUUAAAAAGUGGACUUUGCCAUGCACUUUAAAAGCUUAGUGAAGAUGCCUUUGUCUUAUUUUUGAUACAUGUUAUGUUUGUUUGAUCAAGUUGUACUCAGCUAUAAAUCAAAGAUUCAGAACAUGUGUAUGAUACUGGUUUCUAAAUCAAUGAACGCGUUGAAAUGUUAGUGUUUUCACAGGAGAAUGCAAUUUAAUUCAUCAACAAUGUCCCAACAAGACCCUCAGAGCUGUAGCUUGUAAAGUUAAUUACGAUAUUUUUUUGUAAAGUAAAUUACCAUAUUUUUUUCUUUCCAAUAUAUUGCUUAUUUCAUAGAAAGUUUACAUUAAAGUCUCAUGUUUCUUUGAAAGGUAAGCAAGUGUGAACGUUUCAAUCUAGAGCUGGAAAAUGCAUUUCCGGGCAACUUACUUGAUACAUGAAGUUUUCAUCUCUGACCUUGAUGUUUCCCAUAGUUGCAUUCAUUUCAGCUGAUCUAUUUAAUUUUGUUUUCGAAGGAGUGACACAAAAUCUCCUUUGUUAAGGGGAGAAUUUAGAGUGGCUUUGACUGUUAGCAAAUAGCCUAAUGUAAGACUUAACCAACUUCCUGCCCUGUUGUAUGCUUAUGAAUUUUGAUAGAGCUAAGAGUUUGCAGAAGCUACUGUAUUAUUUGUCGUUAGAGGCUGUAAAAAUCAAACACAUUUAAAUUUCAAUGAAAAUUUACUGGAAGUAAAUUUCCUAUGAUCCCACAGGUGACUAAUUAAUGAGAACUUGACAAUGACAAAAGAAAGUCUAUGAACUUUGCAGGCUGGCAUGCCAAUAUUGACUGGGUGGCACCAUCCACCAUCUGCAAGUGAAUAUCAUUGUUGUUUAAUCAACAAGGUGGAGUCCACUGGGACCACACCACAUCGUCAGCCUUAUCUCUAUUCCUCAAUUUUCAGUAUUCCAUACAUCAAACCAAUUUCAGUUUUGUUAUCAAUUAUAAUUUUAUUGUUGGUGACGAUUCUGAUUCCUUUCUGACAAAAGGGAACCAUGGCUGCUGCUGGAGAGAUCUUACUCAACGCCUUCUUUCAGGUACUGUUCGACAGGUUGGCUUCUCGUAAUUUGCUCAGCUUUGUGCGUCAACUCCAAGGCGGGGUUGAUUCGGAGCUCAAAAAGUGGGAGAAAAAGCUGAAGAUGAUUCGGGCUGUGCUCUGCGAUGCAGAGGAGAAGCAACUGACUGACGAGGCUGUGAAGAUGUGGCUGGACGAACUCCAAGACUUGGCUUAUGACGCUGAGGACACUCUUGAUGAGUUUGCUACUCAAGCUUUGGAAAGCAAGUUGAUGGCGCAAAAUCACGAUAGUUCUGGCCAGGUUCUCAGUUUCAUCCCGGCUGGUUUGAAUCCGAAUGCUAUUAUGUUCAAUUAUAGCAUGGGGUCCAAGAUGAAAGAUAUUACUAGCCGGCUGGAGCAACUCUGCCAAGAAAGAAUUGAACUUGGACUGCAACGGAUUACCGGAGAGGCAUCAUCAACUGCUGCUGCUGCACACCAGAGGCCACCCAGUUCGAGUGUCCCAACAGAACGUGAAGUAUUUGGAAGAGAAAAAGAUAAGGCCAAAAUUCUUGAUAUGUUAUUAGCCGAUACCAUAAGUGAUCAUGCUAACUUUGUUGUAAUACCCAUUGUUGGCAUGGGUGGGAUAGGAAAAACAACUCUCGCUCGGGAGGUUUACAAUGACAAAGCCGUUGGAGGUUCCAAGUUUGAUGUAAAAGCAUGGGUUUGUGUAUCUGAUGUCUUUGAUGUUUUGGGCAUCUCAAAGGCACUUCUCGAGUCAAUCACCCGCAGGCCUUGUCUUCUAAACAGUUUAAAUGAAGUGCAGGUUGAAUUGAAAGUAGCUGUGGAUAAGAAAAGAUUCUUGCUGGUCUUAGAUGAUGUUUGGAACGAGGACUACAGCUUGUGGGUAGACUUAAAAGCUCCGUUCCUGGGUGCUGCACCAAACAGUAAGAUGAUCGUCACCACACGCAAUUCAAAUGUUGCAUCAACAAUGGGACCAAUUGAACAUUACAAUCUCAAGAGUCUGUCAGAUGAUGAUUGCUGGUCCAUUUUCAUAAAGCAUGCAUUUGAAUCUAGAGAUCUUAACGCACAUCAAAUUUCAGAAUCAUUCCGCAAGAAAGUUGUUGCCAAGUGUGGAGGCUUGGCCCUGGCAGCAAAAACACUCGGAGGCCUUCUGCGUACGACGAGGCAUGAUGCGUGGGAUGAUAUAUUAGAGAGCAAAAUAUGGGAUUUACCUCGACAAAGUGGGGUUCUCCCAGUAUUAAGAUUGAGUUACCAUCAUCUUCCUUCUCAUUUGAAAAGAUGUUUUGCUUUUUGUGCCAUCUUUCCAAAAGAUUAUGAAUUCACUGAGAAGGAGCUGACUUUCUUAUGGAUGGCUGGAGGUAUUAUUCGACAGUCAAGAAACAAUGAGCAGCUGGAAGAUUUGGGCAGCAAGUGCUUUGGUGAUCUAGUGUCGAGGUCAAUUUUUCAGCAAACAGCAAGCUCUGAUAGUUCUAAAUUUGUAAUGCAUGACCUUAUUCAUGAUCUUGCUGAAUUGGUCUCUGGAGAAACCAUAUUCAGGUUAGAGGAGGCCAAUACUCUGUCAAGAAGAUUUGAAAGGGUUCGCCAUUCUUCCUAUGCUUGUGGUGGAUGUGAUGGUAAAAAUAUGUUCGUGGUUUUCAAUGAAAUUGAACAUCUACGAACAUUCUUGCCAUUACGCUUACGCAUAAGAGGUGGCUCUAAUACUAGUUACAUAACUCGUACGGUUCUAUCUGAUUUGCUGCCGAAGUUCAAAAUGUUGAGAAUGCUAUCUUUACAAGGAUACCGUAUUGGUGAGUUACCAAUUCCAUUUGAAGAUUUGAGACUACUAAGGUUCCUCAACCUUGCUGACACUGACAUAAGAAGUUUACCUGAGUCAACAUGCAAAUUGCUGAACUUGGAAAUUUUGAUAUUAAGAAAUUGUUCCUAUUUGAUAAAGCUUCCGCAGAAAAUGAGGAAUUUGAUCAAUUUACAUCACCUCGAUAUAAGAGGUGCGAAGUUGCUGAAGGAGAUGCCAUUCGGAAUGAAAGAGUUGAAGAAGCUUCAAACAUUGUCCAAUUUCAUCGUGGGCAAGGGCGAAACUGCAUCUGGUUUGGAAGAUUUAAAAUGUUUAAACUUUCUUGGUAAUGAACUUUGCAUUGCUGGAUUAGAGAAUGUGAAUAAUCCACAGAAUGCAAGAAGAGCCGCAUUAUGCGAGAAGCUCAAUCUUGAAGCAUUGACUCUAGAAUGGGGGUCUCAAUCUGACAGUCCUCGAGAUGCAGUACCAGAAGAGAAUGUACUUGACACUCUACAGCCGCAUAAACGUAUAAAAGAGCUGGCAAUCAGACACUAUGGUGGUGCAAGAUUUCCACUUUGGAUCGGAGAUCCUUCAUUCUACGAGAUGAAGGUCCUUAAAUUGGAGAACUGUGACAAUUGUGUAUCUUUGCCGUCGCUUGGCCUGAUGAGUUCACUUAAGCACCUUGCUGUUAAAGGGCUGAAGAAACUAAAAAGCAUAGAGUCUGAGGUUUAUGGGGAGGGUUUCUCAAUGCCUUUUCCGUCACUGGAGAUUCUAAGUUUCGAGAAUUUGCCAGAAUGGGAGCAUUGGGACACCGAGAUCAAAGGAAAUGCGCCUGUUGAUUUAUUUCCUCGUCUCCAAGAACUUUCCAUUGCAGAAUGUCCCAAACUCUCUGGACAACUGCCUGAGCUCCUGCCUUCCUUGAAGACACUUGUUGUUAGUAAAUGUGAAAAGUUGGUAGUUCCAUUGUCUUGCUAUCCAAUGCUUUGCAGAUUAGAAGUUGAUGAGUGCAAAGAACUAGUCUGCCGGACUCCGAUUGAUUUUAAGUUGAUAAAGUCCAUGACUAUUUCAAAUAGUUCAUUAGACAUGAAUGGACGCAAGGGGAUGUUAUACGAUGGUCCAGCUGGCUCUUCACUGCCAAACCCCAUGACUACUACAAAUGUUUUAGAGUUUGGAAAAUUAUUGAAGCCUGGAUUUCAGAUAUUCGAAACUUUGGUAAUUGGCAAUUCUGAACAGCUCAAGUUAUGGAGGCAGCAUGGGGAUUUUCCGAAAAAAUACAUGGUCACUGACCAUGGGUUCAAGAAACCAGUACGAGGGCUGAAUAUGCUCGCUUCCCCUGAAGAGGUAACAAUUGAAGAAAGUUGCGUACGUCUUGUUUUGAUUCCAGAGAUCAAUUUCCUUCUCAGAAAUCUGCGCUCUCUUAUAAUUAACAACAGCACUGCUUUCAAAUCCUUACCCGAGGAAAUGAUGGAAAACAAUUCACAACUCGAAAGAUUGUAUAUCAGAGAUUGCGACUCUCUAAUAUUCAUCGCAAGACGGAGGCUACCAGCAUCUCUUAAAAGGUUUGAGAUAGGAAAUUGUGAGAAAUUGCAACGUCUGUUCGAUGAUGAAGAGGAUGCUUCUUCUUCUUCUUCUCCUUCAUCCUCGUCUUCCCCAGUGAUGCUGCAACACCUGAGUAUAGAGAACUGCCCAGAGCUCACCAGUUUAUCAUCGGGUGUCCAAUUCCUUGAGGCGCUUGAAGACCUCGUGAUACAGCAGUGUCGAAAGCUGGAGUCAAUACCGGAUGGCCUGCCCAAUCUUAAAUGUUUACAGAGCAUUAAUAUACGGGAAUGUCCAAGUCUUGUUUCCUUAACAGAAAGAGGGCUUCCCAACACCAUUUCAUUUGUUUACAUUUGCAGAUGUGACAAGCUCGAAGCCUUGCCCAAUGAUUUGCACAAACUCAGCUCUCUUCGAGAAUUAUUCAUACAGCUCUGUCCAAAUCUUGUAUCGUUUCCAGAAGAAGGUUUUCCUACCAAUCUAACAACACUUGUAAUUGGAGAUUUCAAAAUGUAUAAGACACUCGUCCAGUGGGGGUUGCACAGGCUUACCUCUCUUAAACGCCUCUGGAUUGCUGUACGUGAUGAUGAAGCAGAGUGUUUUCCAGACGAGGAGAUAGGAAUGACGCUGCCCACCUCUCUCACUGAUCUGCACCUUUUUGAUUUCGAAAAAUUGAUAUCUCUGUCUGCGACGGGUUUUCAGAGUCUCACCUCUCUUCAGAGUUUGUGGAUCGGGAAUUGCCCGAAUCUCACAUCAUUUCCAGAGGUGGGCCUUCCAUCCUCACUUUUGGGCUUAGACAUUAGAUAUUGUCCAAAGCUUAAAACAGCGUGCAAAAGAGAUGAAGGAAAAGAGUGGUCCAAAAUUGCUCACAUCCCUCACGUUGAGAUAGACGGUAAAUUCAUAUACGAUCCAGAAGCAGAGGAGUAGGUUCUACUAUUAAGGUCAGUUGAUUUGUAUUAUCCGCUAUAACAAGCUCCUCCUUUUUUAUUUUUUUUAAAAAUAAUAAUUUUGCAGUCACUCACGUGAUUCCGUUUUCACAAGUCAGAUUGUAUGUUGAGGCUAUUUGCCUUUUAAUCGCAGAUUAAAUUAUAACACUUAUCUUAAAAUUUAAUACCAUACACAGAUAGACGAUUUUUUAAUCCAAAGUUUUUUUUAUUCACUUCAGUUAGCAUUUUUUUUUUCCCCAAAUCAUGCAAGCCGAGAGUUUCAAUCAAGAAUUGGAGGAUGUGAAUGGGAUUUUUGUGAAAGAGUAACAUAAUGGAUGAACGAACAUUUCAUAUGUGAUCUCAAAGUCAACAGAAUUUUAUUCACUCGUUGACUUUUCAACUGCUGUGGUUAUUUAUGGGUGAAAGAUAAGGGCAAUUACAAAAAAUUUGCAAAAUUUGUCAAUUUCUUAGAUGGUAGAAAUUGGAGUAUAAUAUUUUGGAGCAAGCAUACUUGAAAUUUCUGUCUUCAAUAUUUUGAUGCUUUCUUAUCCCAUGCACAAAAGUACUAGAAAAAACUAAUAACAACUAACCGAAAAUCCCAGGCGUCAUAUUCCUUUUUACCGCGUUUUAAAAUGCACAACAAUGAUAUUCUUACAAAUUUGCAAAAUUUGUCAAUUUCUUAGAUUUCAGAUAUUUUAAUGCUUUUUUUAAUUUUUGAUCUAGUAAAAAUACAUAGCCUUCACCGGCAGGAUUCUAGUCUUGGCUUUCACCUCUCUAACUCAUCUGUUCCCAUUGGGAUUCCAGAAGCUAGAAAAAUGUGUAGUUUUCAGAUAAGGAGGCUUGUCAGUUCUCUAGUAAGAAUCCAAUGAUUUGCUUUUGAACGUCCAUCUAAUUUGUGGAUCCUUGCAUCAGAAUUUGAUCAAUCCAAAAGGAAUUGCUUUUAGACAGAAGAAGAAUAGCAGCACCUAGCCUACCCGCAAACCUGAAACUAUUAGAUUGAGGUAAAAAAAUCAUUGACCCUCACAUGUUAACUUCUUCUAGUUACUUUCGUUGGGAAAAAAAAAAACAUUUAAGGAAUUUGCAAUUUGUUGUUAGUUAUGGUAUCUGAUGUUCUUUUCUGCUUUAGCAUUUGUAGAAUCUACUGUAUUAUGUGUUGGCAGUUGCCGUAUCUGAGGUAACUUGCCUUUAUUUGUUUGCUUCUGACUUAAGGACACCAACAUUUGCCAGAGAUUUAGAGAAUCAUCUCAAAACACUUAGCAAACUUGACAAACUUCAAGAUGCACUUGCCCCCACGCCUUAUUCUCAACAACGCAAAACUUGUGAGUACACCUAUGCCUGCAAUUAUUGUGAAGUGUUCGCAAUUCUGAUGCAGAGAAAUGGUUUCUUGAUGCAAAGUAUUAAACUGUUAAGAUUUAUCCUGCAGGCUUGUUAGAUGCUGGAUACGCGAAAAGCCAACAACAUCAAGAACUGCAACUCCAAGACCAGCUUUGCGUUAAUUCAGUCAGCUGUAAUAAUGAUGCAAAUGACACUAUAUCAAGCUGGACUUAGAGACUAGUCAGAUAAAUCAUCCAUUUCAUCAACGGUUAAUGUCAUGAUGGUGGCUAUCAGAGGAAACAAAAGAUGUGUCGGAAUCUAUACAAACAUUGAGAAGCAUGAGAGGAGCUUUGAUUUUGAGUAGGGUCAAUGAACUCAUAUUGGUAAGUGGUAAUUAAAGAAACUUUGUAAGCUUAGUAGAGUUUCAGUAUUUUCUGUUUGGAGUAUAGUUGAUAAGUUGACUCUGUUUAAGAAGCCCGAUUAUAGUAGCUGACUGUAUUAACCUUUUUUUUUUUUUUUUUGGGUCUGCUGUUGUUUUUGGUUUCGAUUAUUUUUUCAACAUUGGGUUGAUCUGUUGAAGAACAAGCUUGGGUUUGAUUAUGCUUUAACUACAAGGAAGAGCCAGACUUGGAUGCAGGCGUUAAGCUUUUAAUGGGUAAGAACAAAUGAAUGCUUUAACUAUGUUUCUCACUUAUUAAAAUGCACGGAUUGAAGGCAUCUGGGUUGAUCCUGACAAUGUGAUGGAAAUACUUCUCUGUUUUCAUAUAACAGGACAAAUAGAGAUCUCUGAUCAUGCCUGAAUUUUUGUUGCAUUGAAAUUUCUACCAUUAUCAAACAUAGAAUGAACUAGGGAUACAUUAGCUUAAGACUAAAUUUUGAGAAGGAAGUUUGUACUUGCAGCCUAUAAAAUCAUGUCCAUGUUGUACGUUUCUUUGGGAAAUGAAAGAUUCUGUGUGUUCUUUUAUUUCAAGUUCACUGAAAUCACAUUUGUUUUCUCAGCUGCUUUCCAGAAGGUAACAACAUCAAUUUCAAAAAUGCUGGGGCAAGAUGUAUCAUGCAGUGCGACUCAACUUGAGAAUUCCUGGCCACAUUACCCGUAUGUCUAAUGAUCGCACAGUACAACCUUGAGAAGCUUGUAAUGAGUACACAACUGGGUGCAAGUAGUUUUGAAAUGAAUUUGCCUCAAAUGAUUUCUUGCCGGUGAUUAAUAUAACCUCUAUUCCAAAAUUCUUGGAACUGGUCAUACUAGCAAUGAAGGAUUGCAUACAUUGAAGACAUAGCUGAAGGCCUUGCGAGAGCUCUGUCAGCCCUUGUACCGGAAAACAGCUGGUCGUAGUCGCUUGUGAAUGAUAUGAUUAAUAGAUACUGCAAAAAUGAAUUGUGCCAUACAUUUUCAGCGCUCUGUGAAGAUGUCUUGGUCAUUUGUUUGAUGCUUGUUUGAUUUAUGUUGUAUUCAGCCAUAAAUCAGAGAUUCAGAACUUGGGUAUGUUUCUGGUUUCCAAAUCAAAAAAUUGCCUUGUGAUGUUAGUGUUCACUGUUUUCACAGGAGAUCAGGUUCCUUGUUAAUGAAUCAAGAAGAAGGCAAGCGCAUCCAUGUCCAAGUUCAAAUGUGUCUCCUCUAUUUUCUAUUACCCACUCAUUUAUUUUGAUUUCUUCAUUGUAAUUGAAUUAGUUUUUUAUUCCAAAUUAGUCAAAACCUCGUAGAGUCAUUAAGUUCUUUUAGCAUUUAAAGACAGAACUACGAACCAAAUGAUUUAAGUUCUUCGUUGUAAUUGAAUUUGCUUUCCCAUCUUUAAAGAUAUUAUGUUCUUUUUCACUUUUUCGAUUUGGUUAGUGGUGAUUUCUUAAAGACUCAAUCCAUUUGCGUUAAUACAUUUUUCUUUUGCCUUGAUUUCUGUUUCUUGGGGAGUUUAUACAUAUUCUUAUUUUAUGCUACACAUGCCAUAUACAGAUUCUUAUUUUAUGCUUCACAUGCCACAUGAAAGGUCAAAGCCUUGUGUGUGAUUAGAAUUUACUGGCAUCAUAGUAACUUUAAACCAUUGUGACGUUUUAGUAAUAACAGUCUGAGCUCUCCCUGAAGGAUUCAAAGCAUUUUAUUUUAUAUUAUACUCCUUUAUAUGGUUUGGCUGGUCUCUUUUAAGGCAAUUCCUGUUUAAAGUAAUCAAAAUUUUGAUUUCGAAGUGUCUUUCAACACUACCGCUAGUUCUUUAAGAAAAGUAAAUCGAUUUUGAGUCUUCUGUAUCAUCUGAUUGAAAUACAUGAAAGCACUCUUAGCUGCAAAAGUACACUUGGAGUUAUAAUAGCAUUCUGAAAUCUCCUUGAAGGAUUCAAAAGCUCUUUAUUUGCUAGUCUUUGCUUGCAAUAAACUCCUUUAAUAUACAUUGGUUGAUCUUCUUUAAAGCAAUUACCAUAAGUUCUUUAAAUAAUAAAACGAUUUUGAGUCUUCUGUAUCAUCUUGUUGAAAUACAUGAAAGCACUCUUGGCUGCAAAAAUGCACUUGGGGUUAUAUAUAAAGUCUUCAACAGAAUUUUAUUUCCCCCUUUAUCCUCAUGGUGGUUUUUUUAGUUGUUUUUUAAGAAAUCGCUUGAAGGUUCUCUUUAAAAAUAAUUUUAACAUAAGCAUUCUUUAGAAGCACUUUAGAUGUCUGGCAUUUAGAAAAUUUUGUUCCUGUGUUCACAUAAUAUAAUAUAUAUAUAGAAAGCUGACUGUAGAAUAGAGGAGAACGAGUUGGUGUUGGUCUGAACUCUGAUCUUUGAACCUCAUGUGACUCCACUACUUUUUACUUGUUCUGUACAAGGUCUUUUAGCUUUUCAAAAAGUUUUAGCUUUAUGGAUAAAAUACUGUUAAUUGUAAUCUAUAAAUAAUGAAAGGAAUUAAUAAAAUAUUAGGUAAAUUUUAUUUUCUAAAGUGUUAUGAGUUCUAAAACGGCUGUAUGUAUAUAAAUUUAUUUACACAUAUAUUUAUAAAUAUGAUUAUAUAAUAAUAUUUUAUGUGUACAUAUCAUAAUUGAUAACUAAAAUAAAUAUUUUUAUUUUAUUAAUGGUUUUUUCGUCUCAAUGUAGUUGGUAAUAAUAAUCUCUUUAGAUGUAACGAUUUUAUUUCCUAACUGAAUAAGGAAAAUUUUAGAUUUUUAUAAUAAAUGUUAAAUAUAUUUAGAAUUACAUUAAGUAUGAAAUAAUCCUCAAAAUUAGAUUUUGAAAAGUUAUUCUUUUCUUGCUUUUAAAAAUAUGUCAUAUGAUGAGAUGAUUUUACUAAAAGUGAUUUUUUUAAAAAAAAUUACUAAACAUCAAAAUUAACUCUUAACUUUUUAAAAUCAUUUCUAAUCUUCUCAUCCUAAGUUCUUUAUUGUUUUGUACAAAAUCCAAGGUUUUGACUUUUAUAAAAUGCCCACUCAAAAAUAAAUUAUUUUCUAAUUAAGAUUUGUUGUUAAUGUAUAACUCGAAGUAAUAUUAGAUAUUUGUAAUUUUAUUUCAAAAAUUUUAUUCAAAUGAUAUGGCAAGCAAUGAACAAUAGUUGAUAGCAAUUUGUUUUUUUUUUUAACAAUGUUCAAAUCAAUCAGUUGCAUUAUCUCACCAUUUUUAUGAUGUCAUGUUAUUUUAAAUGAUUUUUUUAAUUUUUAUAUAAAGCAUACGACGUGUUAACAUCAUUUGCAUAACUUGACCUUUUUUUUUUCCUACAAAUAGUAAGUCAAAUUUACUCACCCUAUUUGUACCUAAAAUCUACCUAAAACUCAUGCAUCACUGUAAAGCAAAUCCAAAGAUUGCGGUACGUUUUUCUUGGUAAGAAAUCAAUAAUUAGGUCAAGUACCGCUACUAAGCGUGCUCAAUUAAUUCUAAAAUACGGUGAUCAAACUCAUACUUCACGCAAGAGGAUAAGGGCUAAACCUCAAUUAGGCAUUAUUCAUCCAAAAUUCAUUGACUGGGCAUUCUUUGCAAGUGGUAGCAUGGGACAGCUAAGAUAAUUAGCAAAUGAUAUGGACCAUACGCACCCGUAUGUUUGUGACAUGUGAAUCUUGGCAUUAAAGGAAAGGUAAUGUGUUAAAAUUUAAUAGAGCCCAACUCUUCAUUGAAUGAUUAUCAGAUCCAACGAGCAUCCUUUGAUGGGAUUAUUUUAAGUCAAUUAUUGGUGGAUUGGGGCCCACUUGACUCUACCAAAUCGGGCUCCACCAUAUCACCUAUUAACGACCACCUGUCCUUAUCAUAAAUAGCAAAUGUCACUUGUUUUAUUUUGUAUUUUACCAAAAGCAAAGUCACUACGAGCACUAAUGAAAGUGACCCCAAUUUUGGGGGUCAUGAACUUGGGAUUAUUAUGGACACAAGAGACAAGCGCAAUGUUUCUCAUUUCUCACUAGAUAAGAUUUAAGUUAUCAACCCAAUAUUAAUAAAUUCUGCUUGAAAAGUAAAGUUUGAAGCUUCAUUUUGCGAAUAUUCAAUGGUUAACAUUUAAGGGUGCGUUUGGGAUUGAGGUUGGGCAGCUGUAGCUUAAAAGCUACAGUACUAAAGUGUUUGGUAAACACUAGCUACUGUAGCUUUUAAGCUAUGUUGAUAUAAUUUUUCACUUGUAUAAUAUAAAAUUUAUUAUAUCUUUAAUAAUUUUGAUAAAAUUAUUAUUUAAAAUUUAUAUUUACUAUAUAUUAUUAACUUUUAUUUCAUAAUUACAGCUUUUUUUUCACAGCAGCUGUAGCUUAAAAGCUACAGCACCUCAAUCCCAAACACACCCUAAGUAAUUAACCUGAUAUUAAUCCAAUUAAACUUUUUAUGUAAUCCAAGUCAAACAUAUAUUGAUAAACCUAAAUUAAUCUAAUUGGACAUAUUAUUUCAACUUGAAAAGGUGAAUCUAUCAUUUUUCAAUUAAUUUUGAAUCAAGCUAUGUAAAAUAUAAGCUUAUUAAGGACAUAUUUGAAAAAUUCAAAUUGAAUUAUUUGACAAUUACAUUUCAACUAAGUUGUACUGCUAAUUAACUUCCUCAACUUAAAAUGUAUUUUUCUCAAUUAAUUCGUAACAAAGAAUGUUAGAUGUUUUGUUCGAAUAAUAACAUUCAACAUCCUUAUUCUUUAUGAUUAUUGCAUAAAAAAUAUAUUUUAUCCAUUUACGUCACAUAUGUUCCUAAAUUGUAUAAGAAAAUCACUAAAUUUACUCUUGUAAGUUACUAUAUCAAUGAACAUGAAAUUAACUAAUCAUUAAAGUCUCGGAAUGACAUCAUGAGGGGGAUUCAGUUACAUUUAUUGAUAGGAUUAUAUAUAUACCUUCUCAAAUAUUAGUAAGAGCAAUUAAACAGAUGCAGCAAUUAAAAAUAUGGAAUUACUUAUCUCGUCAAUAACUAACGAUAUUUUUUAUCUAUGCUCGAUAGGCGUCUGAGCUAUAUUAUAAAUUGUAAUAUUUGUAGAUUGUAACAAUUAUUAAAAAAAAAAAAAAAAGCUCCCUAAGACUAAAUGACAAAAGGACUGUUUUGAAAUAGAUAGAUAAAAUAUGCCCUUAUUUGAGAAAAGGUAAAACACUAGGGAUCUAAAUGUUAUUAUAAUCCCAUGCACAAAAAUACCAGAAAAAACUAAUAACAACUAACCGAAAAUCCCAGGCGUCAUAUUCCUUUUUACCGCGUUUUAAAAUGCAACAAUGAUAUCACUACUACAAAAAUGACAUUUACUGACACUUUGUUUCUGACACUUAGUAAAAAGUGUCAGAAAUGGUGUACAUUUGGACCAUUUUCCUCCUUUAACAAGUAUGUAUCAUAAAUCAUUGAUACUAAGGUGUCAGUAGCUUAAAACUCAGUGAUUAUUGAUACUAAAGCAUCAGUGAUAAAAAAAUAAUAGUAUUAAUUUUGUUUUAAUUUGAACUCGAACUCAAGAUCUCUAAACUUAAAAUUUGUAAGUUUAGAGUGCAAACCAUUGAUGCAAGUGUUUUUAAAUUUUCAAUUUGAUUAAUUUUUUUAUUUAAUUAAAUUUUAUACAAUUACUUUGUGGACAAUAAUAAUAAUAAUAAUAGUUUUGAGAAUAAUAUUUUUUAUUUUGCCACAUGUCAGCUUGUAAUUCGUUGUUAAUAAUAAUAAUUUUACUUGACCACGUGUCGACUUAUAGUUUGUUGUUUUAUUAAAUUACAAUGCGAACAACUACACUAUAUAAUUUUUCAAAGUAUAAAAUGAAAAUAAGAAACCCUAAAUCUAACCUAAUCAAACACACCACUUCUUAAGUUGCUGCCGCCGCUCCCCUGCUCCUUGACUUUCACUGCUGCCGGCCGCUGCUCCUCGACUUUCACUGCUGUCGGCUGUCGUUCCUUGACGUCACUGCCGCCUUUGCUCUGCUGUUGCCAAGCUUCAGCCACCGACGACUAGCUAGCCACCUUUCAGUACGUCGCUGCUACCACUUUUAUGCCGUCACAUCAACUUCAGCUCAGCCAGCCACCGUUCCUUUACCGCCGAGAUCAAGAACCAUUUCUUUCUCUUCUCUCUUUUGGUACAGGUAUGAAAAUAUUGCAGAGGAGUUAAUCUGUUAAUUACCUUUCUGUACGUCGCUGCUGUCAUUCGUGUACGUCAUUGCUGCUACUCAUCUUGGUCACUGCUGCCGCUCCUCUGCCGCCACGACAAGCUUCAGCCUUUUUGACAAAACAUUUCACUUGGAAUUAUAAGCAAACCCUUUUGAGACCAUAAAAAACUAAGCCAAUUUCUUUGGUUUCAAGGCCUUGUUUUUUCACUUUGAAAUCGGAUCAUACAAUGACAAGCCAAUUGAAAACUUCUGUUCAAGAUUUCAUUGUUAAAUUCAGCUUUAUUUUUAUUAUUUGUGUUCCUUUCAUUUUCUUUCCCUUUUUUUGAUUUUUAAUUCAAUUUGGGAUUUGACAGAUAUAUUUUUUAAUUUUUAUAAAAAUUUAUCUUAUUUGCAGGAUGCUAAGGGACAGGAUGUUGAUCUUAGCAUCUACAAGGGAAAGGUUCUUUUGAUUGUCAAUCUUGCAUCACAAUGGUGUGCCUCAGCUCCUUUCAUUUUUAAUUUUUUUUCCAUAAUGAUUUAUUGAUUAUUGUUGAUGCUUCCAUUUAAUUAAUGCUAAUACGUGUUAUCUAUCUAUCGGGAGUCUAAAUUUUAUAGAAUUAUAUCAUACUCGGAAGUAUGCAUGCUCCCAAUACAAAUAAGUGUUUAUAAGAGAGGAUUUCACCCAAAAUCUUUAAUUCUUGCAAAAUGCUAGUGGCUCCGUUUGCACAAGUUUAGUUUUCAUCCAUGUUCGUUCCUUUACCAUAGCGGUUCCUUUACCACUGAGGUCAGACACCAUUUCUUUCUCUUCUCUGUUUUGGCACAGGUAUGAAAAUACUACAGAGAAGUUUCUCUAUUAAUUACCUUUUAUGAAAAUAAUAUAUAUAUAUUAUUCACAUGUUUAAUUGAGAACAUCUAAUAAUAUAGUAAUAAUAUAGUGGGCAAACUAUAGGAAGGUUGUUAGUAGACAAUUCUAAUUUUAGCUUUACUUUGCAAAUGAAAGAUUAGAAAUAUUCCGUCGAACCCAUUUUACUAUAUUGGAGGUUUGGGCUAAUCUUGUAUAGAUUUUUGCUCAGAAGAAGGAUGGUUCUCCAAGGGCGGUGGGUUGGUUUUUCUAUAGACUAUUCCCCUAUUUUCCCAUUUUGCUUUUCUUUGAGGAAACCUGGUCCAUUUUUUUUGUGUUUUCUUUCUUCAAUCAAAUAUGUAUUUCUCAAUCUCCUCUCAAAAAAUACCUAUCUCAUUUUAUUAUAUGUUUAUGAAUUACUAAUUGUAUUUUGUUAGUAUUCCAUGUUCGAAGAAGAAUAUUAGAUUGAAGAAAGAAGAAUAUUAGAUUGAAGAAAGAAGAAGUUGUUCCUUUGCUAAUCGUUUGAAACCCAGGUUUGCACUGAAUCUGAUUUUUAUCUUUAACUUUUUUACUUGACCCAUACUUGAAUCAAAUUUUUGCUCCACUUUCCUUUCUUUCGUCAAUUUAAUUAUCAAUCCACUUCAAACCUAAAAAGAUUUAGUAAUUGGGAAACCCUUUUUUUUUUAAAGAAUUGCAAAGUACUGUAAUUGGAAACUGGGUUCAUGUCUUAAAAAGUAACCUGAUUUGUAAUGUUUGGCUUAUAGUGGCCUUCUAUUUCUGUUUUUCAUCUCGGCUUGGUUAAUUUCUUUACUAGUCGUUUAAAUUUUGUUAAUUUUUAUUUUUCCUCUUUAAGCUCAUUAAAUAUCUUUUUUUUUUCAAUUUAUGGCUUUCGGUCCAACUGAUCAUCGUUGAAUGUGGGCACUAUAAAUGUUAUAGUGCUUGUUAACUUAAUGUAUUUGAUCAUAUAUUAUAGUAUUGUUUACUUUAAAUUUAGACAAUGAAAUAGAUUACAAAAAAAAUAACUUAUGCUUGUCAAGUUGUAGACACCAUCGUUCAUGUCAUCAUUACUGAAUAUUGAUGUACUUAUUAAGUGUUCUCUUUAAUACUUGAUAGAAUACUUUUGGUGAAGCAAUUUUGGUAUCAUGAUUGCAGGCUGUAAUUAACUUGGGAACGUGUAGAUUCUACAAUUUCUUUUUCUGAUUCCUUAACUUGCUUCUUUUAAUCCUACUCUUCUAUGUUGAAGUAAUUUAUGAAUAUUUUUGCUUCAAAAUAACUAAGAUAUAUUUUUCACAGUAUACUAAUUGAUUUUAUGCAUUUGUAGGUGGGAAAAAAAUGAAGCCGUGGAUGGAUAUUGAGUGACCUUGUGCUUUUUUUUUUUUUUUUUUGGGUUGGAAACUUAAUUGAGUAGUAGUUAGCACUUGUUGUUUAGAGAUUGUUGAAAAUUUAAUUUGAUACUUAUGUUAAGUCUUUUACAUAUAGUGAUGUAGUUGAAUUGUGUGAAUUUAUGUGAUGUAUUUGAGAUGUUUAUUAUAUGAAUUGUGUUGCAAGAUAUUUAAUAAUAAAUAUAUUUCGUGUUUUCUUUUGGUUGUACAACAAACACGAAAAAUAUAAUUAAAAUAAAAAUAUACUAUUAACCAAAAGCAGUAUAACAUUACUAAAUACUGACACUACAUAUUUAAAAUAACAAUAAGAAUUUUUUAUAUUAUCGAGUCAGUUUCUGAUACUAUAGUCACAUAAAUUACUGACAUGUAAAUAGUAUCAUUAAAUACCAACAUCAUCGUGUCAUUAUUUUAGUGAUACUAUAGUGAAACAAAUUACUGACACAAAAAUUACUGACACCAAAAAUUAGUGUCAGUGUGUUCUGGCUUGAGCAACACUGACACAAUUAACAAGUGUCAAUAAAAGUAAUUACUGACGCUAAAUUAGUGUCAGUAAAACUCAUUUUUCUAGUAGUGUAUUCUCACAAAAGUUGGUACAAAGGUUUGUACAACCAGGGCCUCUUUGUAAAUUAUUUCAAAGUUUUGUGUUAUUUUUUAAAUUUAUGAAUUUUGUUAAUUUUGAUUGAUUGGAGCAUUUCUCCUUCCAUCUCUUCUACAUCUAUCUUUAAAUUUCUUUAAAAUUUUGACUAUAUCUUUAUAGAGUUCUAAAUGAUUAUCUUUUUCAUAAAAAUCUAUACUUAAAUUAAUCCCUGAAUUUAUAAUCAUUUGUCUUCUUUGAGUCAUAGACCAAAUUUUUUCUUCUAACAUAUCUAUAUAUACUCCUAAGCUAUCUUUGCAGCUUAGAUACAUUCUAUCAAAGCUUUCGCAUAUAAAUUGUAAUUUGAGAUCUGCAUCUUGAAUCAACAUGUCUAUAUUAUCCAUUGUUUUACGCUCGAUUUUGAGUUCUAUUAUUAGUCUUGCACAUGUCUUGGAUUAUUUCGAGGGUAGUUAAAAUUGAUUCUAUUAAUGCUAUCCUGUUUUCUUCUUCAAAAGAAUCAAAUAUUUCUGAAUCAUUAAUUUCUUUUAUUUCUUCAUACAAGCGUUUGUUUGUCGCUAAUCUUGUUUUAAUCAAGGAAACUGUAUAAGCAGCUUGAUAUUCUUGACAAAAGUCUAAAUGAUCUAUUGCAUCUAGAAAUUUAUUAAUAGAUCUUUCCAUUUUUAAGAAAUUGAGUUACUCUUAUCACUUCCAAUCUUUUAACAUCUCAGAAAACAAACAAGGCCCAACAUGCUUCCGUUUGUAGCUAAAAUAAAAGAAGAGUUCAUAUCACUAACCAGUGUAAUAUCUCUCGGAAUUCUGAGAUAGACUCACUAAUUGCCUCUAACCAUAGAGAGGUCCAUGGUUAGCACCACUAUAGCUCCACAUAUCAUACAAAAUCACUUCAACGACUGUUCCAUAUGGCCCAAAGCAACACACAGCAGACUGGCCUAAUAGGAUAUGUUUAAGUGAUUUUCUUGCAGUUGUCUCUGGAAGAGUGCUUAGUAAUAGAAAAUCUUCUUCGUUUAGUACAAGUAUUGGCAUGUAAGGUUCUUGGUUAAUUUUUAAAAGAUGUAUAAGAUAUCUAGAAGAUGAUAAUUUCACUCAAAAGAGUUUUAUUUAUUCCAUCAUUGAAAUUGUUUACAGAGGAAGGUUACAGAGAAUACAGAGGUAAUUGAAGGUUAGACAUCUGAUAUAUUUCCUUUCUUACAUGCUUUCAUUUAUAUAUCUCUCUAGAGAUAAGAUUAUUUCUUUUACAUAACACAUGUUCGAUCCUUGUGGUGGAAUCUCAAUUUCCUUUUGAUAAGGUGACCCCUUCUUUAUCAUUGAAGCUAGUAGUUGUCUUCUUUUCAUGUUGGCAGACAUGAAAUAUCUGGUUCUGGUGAGCUUUUUCUUUUUUGGAAUCUGUCUUUUUGAAUUAUUGAUACUUUUUGGAUAGCACCUUUUAUCUUUUUCAGUGGUCCUCGUCACGUGCCAAUUAUCAGAUCUUCAUCUAUAGACAUGUCUUCCCCACUAGAAUCUCUUUUUUUGAUCCUUCGUAGUAGUAGCCACAUGAUGAUUGAUGCUUUAGCACCUUAUAUAUCUCGUGGUGUGUUAGCAAGGUGGAUUCCACGAGAUUUUCGAAUAUGCCCUUUUUCUUUUCUAAUAUGUUAUCCUCAUCUUUAUCAAAUUCACAUUUACAAUAUAAUUCUUUGAAGCUACAUGUAUAUUCUUCUAAAUAACAUAUAUUACAUAUUUCAAGCCUUGUUAGCUUCAUUAAAUUUUCUAUCUGUUUUCUUUUUAUUUCUUGUUGAAAAUCAAUUUCCUAAUCUUCUCCCAAGAAUUUUUUUCUUAUUUCAUUUUUGAAUCUAUUUAAAACCUGAUCAACACUUUCGUUUCGAUUAUUAUUUUCUCCAUACAAUAUUCUAUUUUUAUGGUUAUCAUUUAAUCCCAUAAACCAAUGAGAAACAAUUCCUAUAAACGAAAUUUUAAGGAAUUCUAUACUAUUAUCCCUAUCAAUUUUGUGAAAUGCAAAAGCCAUUUUCAUAGAUUUAACCCAAGCGGUAAUCGUUUUAUCUCUAUCUUUGAUACAGUCUAAAUCUAACCAUACACCAUCAUGGUUGAUUGGUCUUUCUCUAUAUUCUCCUGGAGUUUUAUAAUCUUUUUUAGGCUUGUUAAUCCUAAAAUAUUGACCUUGUAAUCUUUCCUGAGUUGGUAUUUCUUCCCUAACAUAGGAAGCUCCAUUACUAGUUUCUCCUUGUUAAAAACCAUUUGGCUUUGAUUCAUUCAUUUUUAGAUGUUCUAUUCUAUUUUCAAUAUCCUGCAAAUUAAUGACUAUAUCACCUUCUUCUUCGGAUUCAGAUUCUUUAUUAGAUAUCUCUUGAUUAGGUAAUUCUAUGUUUUCACUUAGCAUUCUUAGACUUAUUAAUUUUUUGUCUUUGUUUAUUUUGUUAAAUAUCGGUUUAGAUAUUGUUAUCAUUUCUUUAUCUUUAAGUUCAUUAUAGUAAAUUAUGGUAUCUUGUAAAAUUUUGUUUUGUUUAUUGAUCUUCUGUACUUCAAUCCUUUUGUAAUUUUCCAUUUAUGCUUAUAGCGAAUUUAUUACCAAGUUGUUCAACAAUUUUUUCAAAUUUUUGUAGUUGGAUUUCAAUCUUGUUUGAAUUUAUUUUCAAUUGAACUUUUGUUCAUAAUAUUAAAGAUUUCUUGUUUUAAUCUAUCUUGAUCUUCAAUAUUAAAGUCUUUUAUUAAUAGCUUAACAAAAUCAAAUUCUUCACUCAUUCGCUCUCCUAUCAUUUUGACUUGUCUUAUAUUUUCAGCAUCAAAGCUUUUAAUCUCAAGUAUCUCAUUUAUACUUUCUAUAUCAUCUAUGGUUAAAUUAGGGUUUCCUAAUUUAUUUAAUAAAUAUAAUGAAAUCCAAUUUAAUUGAUUAUUUCCCCACAUAUCGGAAUCAUUUACUAAAUCAAAUGGUUGAAAUCUUCCAUAAGUAAAUCCUCUAUGCCUAUAGCUAGAAGGUGGUAAUAUGUUGGUUUCAAUAUUUUGAGAAAUUAACAAUGGUUUUGGUAAUUUAUUCAUAGUACCAUCUGCAUAAUAUCUCAUUAUAUUCUAAUAAGUAUUUAUGACAUAUAAUAUUUCUUAUAUCCUUAGGGAUAUUGUUUUAUGUUAAUCCUUUAUGUAUAUAGCAAAGUUUAUACAUAAUUAAAUCUUUAUAUCCUAUUAGCAUGUUGCUAGAAGGAUAAUAUUUACUUCUGAUUCUUUUAUUUUUCCAAUUGUAUUCACCUCGUUGUUUAACAUUUAAAAAUCCGUUGUAAUCUAUUAUAAGAUCAUCUACAUAAUCUUCAAUAGAGUUAAUAUUCCAUUGUUUCCAUGAAAAAUUAUUUCUAUAUACUUCUCUCCUGAUCCUAAAGAGAAGAAUAGGAUCAAUAUUUAAAUUUCUAAUUUUUAUUAUGAUGAGUUCUCCAAUUUUAAAUUCAUGAACUCUAACUAAAUAAAACUGUAUUAAUUGUUUAUCAUCCAAUAUAUUAACUUCUGAAUAAUAAUAUUGUUUAUGUUUUGUUAUAUUAUCUUUAAUUGUAUUUCUAUCUAUCAUUAAAUUAUAUCUUCCAUUAUUAAUGGAAUAAAUAACUGUUUCGUCUAUUUUUAUAUUUUAAACCAAAAACUUGGCUCUAAUACCGUUUUGCAGAAAUCAACUAAACCCAAAAUCCAAAUGAAUUCAAAUAGGGAUGUAUAUGAUUAAUUGUUAAGAUUUUAUCUAAAUUUUGUAAUUAUAAUUUUUCAAAACUCACAGUUUUGUGCAAUCAUUUGUGUAAUCCGUUGUGAGAAUGUCUUUUUCCUUGCAUCUAAGGCAACAAAGUGGAAAACGCGUACCAACGACUCACAUAACAAUAUAACAUCUGUCCCGGAUGGAGCCGGUUGUUCAUGUCAGCAACCUACUUUGAAACGACACGUGGACCGCAAUUUGUUCUUGUUCUCAACGUUGCUAUGAAAGAAAGCAUUUUUUUCCCCUUUUCUUCUUCAUUUUUUAAAGAAAUAUUUUACUAUAUAUUUAAAAAAAAAAAUCGUUGCAAUCUGAAGAUAUUAAAUUGUGGAUCUUGUAUUGUGUGAUAAGUCCGGCAUGCAAUUUUGGGCCAGCAUACCGCGCGCAUGGGAGCAUUCACAAAGAAUCUCUCGUCACUAUCGAAAACUUUUAAUAGUCAAUACAAAUGCUUCCGUUUCAUCCCAUAAACAGAUAAAAUUCACAUCUGUACACAUCUACUUUUCUUUGCUAGAUAGAGUUCCUCUGCAUUUCCCAAUUGCCUAAAGAGAAGGGGAAAAGAAAAAGAGGGCCAAAAAAUGCCUGAAAUGGUAAGGAACAAGCAAGUGAUAUUGAAGGACUAUGUGUCUGGUUUCCCAAAAGAAACAGACAUGUACAUGACCGAAAGUUCCAUAGAAUUGAAGGUGCCAAAAGGUUCAAAUGGGGUUCUUUUAAAGAACUUGUUUGGGAGAAAUACGUCGACGAGACCAGGCAUGGUGAGCAUAUAUCUGAUGGCAGAGUUCUGCGAACCGGUGUGUUCCGUAAAAGCCUGGUGCACGGGGGAACAGGAGCAGAAGUAUCCUGCUCGUCCACGAGCACGUCAUCCGCGAGGCCAAUUUCCUGUAAGAGGCAUAAGGUCAUUCCGGCUAGAGGUCGAGAGGCGAGGAGACCCGGUCGACGGCAGUUGGCAAGACAUGCUCCCCAGCCCGAGAAUCUAGGCACGACAGCCACGCUUUCCCCAGAACCGUGGCGUAACACGCAAGAUCUCACAGAACCACGACAGCCACGCUUUCCCCAGAACCGUGGCGUAACACGCAAGAUCUCACAGAACCACGACAGCCACGCUUUCCCCAGAACCGUGGCGUAACACGCAAGAUCUCACAGAACCACGACAGCCACGCUUUCCCCAGAACCGUGGCGUAACACGCAAGAUCUCACAGAACCACGACAACCACGCUUUCCCCAGAACCGUGGCGUAACACGCAAGAUCUCACAGAACCACGACAGCCACGCUUUCCCCAGAACCGUGGCGUAACACGCAAGAUCCCACGUUUGCCCAUAACGCAGCAGUCAGAGUCCCAUACCGUCUCGGAAAAAGCGGAAAACUGGGAUUCAGGGGAAGCCUAUAAAAAGGUAGCCAACGAAGGUAAAAGGGUUGGCAUUUUUGAGAUUAUAAAAGAAAUGAAAAAAGAAGAGAAAACGACGAGAAAGCCAUAAGAUCUGUGGCAAGUGUCCCCCGAACCUUCAUAUCUGACUUGAGCGUCGGAGGGUUUGCGCCGGGAAAACAACCGGCGUACUCUGACUUGUCUGUGUGCGCAGGAACCUCUGGAGAAGAAGCCUCACGUGGAGACCUCCUGGUCGUGAAGAAGUUGAUCGGACAGAGAUCCUGGUCGUAGAACGAGGAGAACCAGAAUCCCGCAUCAACAUUUUGGCGCCGUCUGUGGGGAGUGGAGCAAAAAGCUUCUGUUGAUAGCAAGAAGAGGGGUGAAGCAAGUGAAAAGCAAUGGAGACAGGAGGAAGUAGUGCACAAGGGGGUGAUAGGAUUAACGAUUCCGUGACGCUGAGGGAGAUAGUCAGUGAAGCACGGGAAAAAGUCAUGUUCGACCGGAUGGAACGGAUAGAAAAGCAGAUGGAGACCUUGACAACCAUCCUGCAUGAGCUGCGGAGCGAGCGAAGUAUAAUCCAAGAGGGAAGGGUGAGAGGCGGUGGAGUGGCACCAGGUCCCGAUAGUGCGGGGAGAAGUCAAACCACCGGGAGAUUUGGUGGUGAGAGAGGUAACGUACCUCUGCGGGGAGAAUUUCAUAGAGAAAGAGAGCAGUCCCCGGCAAGACAGACUGGCGACGAGGACGACGGGGUGGUGAAUGCAGAGGAAACAGAGUUGAGGCAACACUUGCAUGAUGUAGAGCAAGAGCGGGAUUAAGUCGCAGCACGUGACCCUGGUCGUGCAGUGCAGCUGGAGGAGGAAGUGCGCAGACUAGCGCAGAUAAUCGACGACAUGCAAGGAAGGAACAGAGCCCCUGGUUGGAGGAUAAUGCUGGAUGGAGAAUCACCGCUCGCAGCAGAGAUCAUGAGGGCAGUUAUUCCGAGAGAUUUCCGCCUCCCAGACCUCAGAUACUCGGGAAGAACUGAUCCGUUGGUGCACAUAGAGCGCUUCAACGACAUAACUAGGGUACAAGGAUUAUCUCAAUCCCAAAGGUGCAGAGUGUUCCCACUAUCCCUUGAGGGACGUGCACGAGAAUGGUACAGGAAACUUCCUCGGGGCAGCAUUAAAACCUUCGAGCAGAUGUGCUAGGAAUUCGCGGAGCAGUUUAGUGGGGCAAUGGCGCCGGAAGAUGACAUGAUGGAGCUGAAAAGCAUGAAACAGGGGGAGCAAGAAACCCUUCGGGAAUUCAUCAAGAGGUUUCAUCGGGCUGUCCUCGACUUGGGAGCCUUCAACCACCCUCAGGCGUUAAGGGGAUUGAAAGAAGGGGUGAAGAUAGGAAGGCUGUGGUACAAUUUGAGAAGCCCAGCUAUUCAAACGUAUGCAGCCGCAUACGAACAGGCUAAGAGAGACAUCGAGAUUGAAGAGGAGAAGGCUGCACGGAUUAAGACAGACCAGUUAGAAGGGCUGGGGAGGAAAGAGAAGAAAGCAUUACCGGGGAAUGGGCCGAUCAGGAGGAGGGACCACCAGGCCUCCGGUAGUGGAGCAGGAGGUCGGGUAGCCGCUUACCAGCCUCAUCAAAGGCCACCACAGUAUCAGCGCAGCAGGGCGCAACCUCCUCGUUCCCCAGCUAGGGAGCCUUGGAAAAGGCAUGAGUCGGCAUCUGGUGGUCUCCAACAACACCCCCACGGUAUCAGAGCGAGCAGACCAGAAGUACUUCCACCGCCCCCAACUCAGAGCGGGGCAAACAGGGAAAGAGCAGUGCACCUGAUCGACCAGAACCCGGACUAUGGGCGGUACACUUCCUUGAAGAUGUCCCUGGAUGAGGUGUACGAGGCCAUAAAGGAUCGAGGGCUGCUACACCUCCCUACACCAAUAACAAAGCUACCUAACAGGAGGGAUAGAGGACGUUAUUGUAAGUUCCAUGGCACCCAUGGCCAUACCACAGCAGAGUGUAGAGAUCUCAAGACCCAGGUCGAAGAUUUGGUGAGAAAUCGGUACCUGGACGAGUUUAUGGAUGGGACUUUCCCGAUGGGGGCCACAACAGGUGAAGGGGAGCAGAGUGGCGGAAACGUGAGGCGCGAGCAGCCCGCAGUAAGGGUGAUAGCUGGGGGCCCGACAUUGGCCGGAGAUUCCAACAGAUCGAGAAAAAAUUAUGCUAGGUACGCCAUGACCAGUAAAGAGGUACUCCUCAACACCCCAGCAGCCAAACGAGCAAGGGUCAGGCAAGUGCCAAUCAUGUGGACGGAUGAGGAUGAGGAAGGGAUUCUAUACCCCCAUGAGGAUGCUUUAGUCAUCAAGGCUACUGUCGCUAGCAAGAAGUUUGACCGGAUACUGAUUGAUACAGGGAGCUCAGUUGAUGUGUUAUUUAAGUCAACCCUGGAAGAGAUGGGAAUAGCCGACCGGAAGUUGGAAUAUACCAAUACCUCCUUGAAGGGGUUCGGAGGAGGGAAGCUGGUCCCUCUGGGCGUGGUCGAGCUGCCUAUCACAAUUGGGAGCUCCCCGACAGAAAGAACAAUGAUACUGGACUUUGUCGUAGUGGAUGAGGAAGGUCCUUACCAGAUGAUCCUAGGUCGGCCAUUUUUAAGGAUGAGCAAAGCGGUGUUGUCCAAUCAUUAUCUGGCUCUGAAGUACCGGGUGAACGGGGUAGUAGGAGUGGUACGAGGAGACCAGAGGAUCGCAAGAAGCUGCUACUCCUCGGCAGCAAGGGAAGCAAUGCAGAUAACAUCCCUCGAUACCCGAGUGGAAAACAAGAAGGGCAGACAAGAACCUGUAGAGGAUCUGGAAACAGUAAGCCUGGGACCAGAGAACCCGGGAAAGAUGAUCAGAAUCGGGUCGAGACUUAAGGGAGAGCAAAAGCAGGAGUUGGUGAAAUGCUUACAGGCUCAUGCUGAUGUGUUUGCUUGGACACAUGAAGACAUGCCAGGGAUUGACCCUGAGGUAGCAUGUCAUAAGCUGGCAAUAAAGAAAGGUGCUCGGGCAGUAAGGCAGAAGAGGAGGUGUUUCAACCAGGAGAGGUAUGAGGCUAUAAAUGGCGAGGUGGAGAAGCUCUUGAGAGCAGGGUUCAUUCGGGAAGUCAGUUACCCUGAGUGGAUAUCGAAUGUGGUGUUGGUAAAGAAGGCAAACGGCAAGUGGAGGAUGUGUGUGGAUUUCACAGACCUCAAUAAGGCGUGCCCAAAAGACAGCUUCCCUUUACCAAAGAUCGAUCAGCUAGUAGAUUCAACGGCUGGACAUGGUCUGCUUAGCUUCAUGGACGCGUUCUCGGGAUACAACCAGAUCCCCAUGUACGAGCAGGAUGAGGAGAGCACGGCUUUCAUCACUAACCAAGGUUUGUUCUGUUACAGGGUAAUGCCAUUCGGUCUCAAAAAUGCCGGGGCCACCUAUCAAAGGCUGGUGAACAAAGUCUUUAAGCCGUUGAUUGGGAAAACCAUGGAGGUGUACGUGGAUGACAUGAUCACCAAGUCCAAAAUCCCGGAGGAACAUGUCAGACACCUCGAGGAGACAUUCGAGCUUUUGAGGAAGUAUAAGAUGAAGCUCAACCCGGAGAAGUGUGCUUUUGGGGUCGAGUCGGGGAAAUUCCUUGGAUUCAUGGUGAGCCAUAGGGGGAUUGAAGCAAAUCCCGAGAAAAUCCAGGCGAUUGUGCAAAUGACGUCUCCCCGUAACCUGAAGGAGAUGCAGAGCCUCACGGGGAGGUUGGCGGCGUUGAGCAGAUUCAUAGCCAAGGCUACAGAUAAGUGUCAGCCGUUCUUUCAAGUGAUGAGGAGGGGAAAGAAAACAGAAUGGACCUCAGAAUGCGAGGAAGCCUUCCGGAACUUGAAGCAAUACUUGCAGCAAGCUCCGCUGCUGUCCACACCGAGGGAUGGGGACAAGUUAUAUCUGUAUUUAGCGGUAUCGGCUCGGGCCGUCAGUUCUGUUCUGGUGAGAGAGGAAGAAGGAGUUCAGUAUCCGAUAUAUUACACCAGCAAGGCCCUGCUCGACGCUGAGACCAGAUACCCACCGUUGGAGAAAUGGGCACUUGCCCUUGUGGUUGCUGCUCGGAAGUUGAGGCCAUAUUUUCAAGCAUUCCCGGUCUUGGUAAUAACAAACCAGCCAUUGCGUCAAACUCUGCACAAGCCAGAUGCCUCUGGUCGGCUCGUCAAGUGGGCUGUAGAGCUGAGCGAGUUCGACAUAGACUAUAAGCCCCGCGCAGCGAUAAAAGCCCAGGCAAUGGCCGAUUUCGUAGCUGAAUUCACAGAGCCCGAAGUAUGCUUAGAUCAACAAGAGGCAGAUAUAGGCAAUGACGAAACUCAAGUAUGGCAGAUGUCUGUGGAUGGGUCAUCAGGGGAGCGGGGUUCAGGAGUAGGGAUUGUCUUGGAAGGCCCAGAGGGGGAGGAGAUCUCUUAUGCUGUAAAAUUGGAAUUUGCAGCCACGAAUAACCAGGCAGAGUAUGAAGCCUUGAUAGCAGGUCUGGAAUUGGCUAAGGCCGUGAAAGCAAACAAAGUUAAGAUCAGAACUGAUUCCCAGCUGGUAGCGAAUCAUGUCAGUGAAAGAUUCCAACCAAGAGAGGAGAAGAUGGGGCAGUACCUGAAGAUAGUCAAGCAGAUGAUGGGGAAGUUCGAAGCAGUGGAGGUGAUACAGAUCCCCAGGGAGCAGAAUAGUCGAGCAGACAUUUUGGCUAGGAUGGCAGCAGUAGCCGACCCAAAAAUGCCAAAGUCGGUCCCUCUGGAGGUGAAGUCCGGCCCAAGUAUCGAUCAGAAUUUGGGGGUGAUGCGGAUAGAACAAAAAUGCUCGUGGAGGGACCCGAUAGUUUCAUACCUUAGAGACGGGGUAUUACCACCAGAUAAGAUGCGAGCUCGCAAGCUUAGAGCCCAGGCCUCGAGAUACACGAUGAUUGAUGGGGUACUGUAUCGGCGAGGAUAUACACUACCGUUCCUUCGGUGUUUGGAUGAGGACGACGCGGAUUACGUACUAAGAGAAGUACACGAAGGAAUUUGCGGAAAUCAUUCUGGCGGGAGGUCCCUGGCCCAUAAGGUUCUAAGGCAGGGAUAUUUCUGGCCGACAAUGCACCAGGAUGCGCAAGAGAAGACCAGGAGUUGUGUAAGUUGCCAGAGUUUUGCAAAUUUCUCUAACCAACCACCAGAGAAGCUUACCUCCAUGACCUCCCCCUGGCCAUUUGCUCAAUGGGGAAUUGAUCUGAUCGGCCCAUUGCCAAAGGCACGGGGAGCAGCAACACAUGCAAUAGUUGCUAUAGAUUACUUCACGAAGUGGAUAGAGGUAGAAGCCCUUAGCAGGAUCACAGAGAAGAAAACAACAGACUUCGUGUGGAGAAACCUGGUCUGUCGAUACGGGAUCCCUUAUGCCUUGGUAACGGAUAAUGGCAGGCAGUUCGAUAACCACAGCUUCAGGGAUUUCUGCCAGAACCUCGGGAUAGAGCUGAAGUAUUGCUCGCCUGCUCACCCUCAAUUGAAUGGACAAGUAGAAGCAGCCAACAAGACCAUCAAGAGGCUUUUAAAAACCAGGCUUGGAGCAAAAAAGGGUGCGUGGGUUGACGAGCUGUCAGGUGUGCUAUGGGCAUACAGAACAACCCACAAAACCGCAACUGGGGAGACACCGUUCGCUUUGGCUUUCGGACAUGAAGCGGUCGUGCCGGCUGAGAUAGGAACGACCACACACCGGACAAAUCAUUUCAAUGAGCAGGAGAACGACGAGCAGAUAUGUUUGAAUCUUGAUCUGCUAACGGAAAGGUGGGAGCAAGCAGCCGAGCGAUCAGUCAUUUACCAACAGAGGGUUGCUCGGUAUUAUAACCAGAAGGUGAACAUACGGCAAUUCAGGGUCGGAGACUGGGUACUGAGAAGAGUGAAUCAGAGCACCAAAGAUUCGACUCAAGGAGUGCUGGGACCGAAUUGGGAAGGGCCAUAUAGAGUCAAGCAGAUAGCGGGACCCGGAGCUUACAGGCUGGUUCGCACGGACGGCCACGAGGUGAAACGCCCAUGGAACGCAGCACACCUCCGAAAAUACUUCCAGUAAGACUUGUUCACAUGUGAAAACUAUUUUUGCUCAUGUUCAUUACCGUUUAUCUUUCACGCUUAUUGUCCAAACAAUUUCAUGUAAGUCGAAUCCUGCCAUUAAUGGAACGUCGAGGAAUUUCUUUCGCUUGAAACCGAGAAAAUUUUCCAAGGCAUGCAAAGGCUCACCAAGUCUCAAAGCCUGUCUUAUGGCGAGACAGAAGCCAAGCAUGCCAGGAUCUGCUCGGCCACGAGAAGGCAAGCAGAAUCCCAAUCCUCGAAGAAUCCAAGGCAUGCAAAGGCUCACCAAGUCUCAAAGCCUGUCUUAUGGCGAGACAGAAGCCAAGCAUGCCAGGAUCUGCUCGGCCACGAGAAGGCAAGCAGAAUCCCAAUCCUCGAAGAAUCCAAGGCAUGCAAAGGCUCACCAAGUCUCAAAGCCUGUUUUAUGGCGAGACAGAAGCCAAGCAUGCCAGGAUCUGCUCGGCCACUAGAAGGCGAGCAGACUCCAAAGCAUUCGAAGAAAUGCCCAAGGCAUGCAAAGGCUCGACAAAGUCUCAAAGCCUGUUUUAUGGCGAGACAGAAGCCAAGCAUGCCAGGAUCUGCUCGGCCACUAGAAGGCGAGCAGACUCCAAAGCAUUCGAAGAAAUGCCCAAGGCAUGCAAAGGCUCGACAAAGUCUCAAAGCCUGUUUUAUGGCGAGACAGAAGCCAAGCAUGCCAGGAUCUGCUCGACUACUAGAAGGCGAGCAGACUCCAAAGCAUUCGAAGAAAUGCCCAAGGCAUGCAAAGGCUCGACAAAGUCUCAAAGCCUGUUUUAUGGCGAGACAGAAGCCAAGCAUGCCAGGAUCUGCUCGGCCACUAGAAGGCGAGCAGACUCCAAAGCAUUCGAAGAAAUGCCCAAGGCAUGCAAAGGCUCGACAAAGUCUCAAAGCCUGUUUUAUGGCGAGACAGAAGCCAAGCAUGCCAGGAUCUGCUCGGCCACUAGAAGGCGAGCAGACUCCAAAGCAUUCGAAGAAAUGCCCAAGGCAUGCAAAGGCUCGACAAAGUCUCAAAGCCUGUUUUAUGGCGAGACAGAAGCCAAGCAUGCCAGGAUCUGCUCGACUACUAGAAGACGAGCAGACUCCAAAGCAUUCGAAGAAAUGCCCAAGGCAUGCAAAGGCUCGACAAAGUCUCAAAGCCUGUUUUAUGGCGAGACAGAAGCCAAGCAUGCCAGGAUCUGCUCGACUACUAGAAGGCGAGCAGACUCCAAAGCAUUCGAAGAAAUGCCCAAGGCAUGCAAAGGCUCGACAAAGUCUCAAAGCCUGUUUUAUGGCGAGACAGAAGCCAAGCAUGCCAGGAUCUGCUCGACUACUAGAAGGCGAGCAGACUCCAAAGCAUUCGAAGUAAUGCCCAAGGCAUGCAAAGGCUCGACAAAGUCUCAAAGCCUGUUUUAUGGCGAGACAGAAGCCAAGCAUGCCAGGAUCUGCUCGACUACUAGAAGGCGAGCAGACUCCAAAGCAUUCGAAGUAAUGCCCAAGGCAUGCAAAGGCUCGACAAAGUCUCAAAGCCUGUUUUAUGGCGAGACAGAAGCCAAGCAUGCCAGGAUCUGCUCGACUACUAGAAGGCGAGCAGACUCCAAAGCAUUCGAAGUAAUGCCCAAGGCAUGCAAAGACUCACCAAGUCUCAAAGCCUGUUUUAUGGCGAGGCAGAAGCCAAACGUGCCAGGAUCUGCUCGACCACUAGAAGGCGAGCAGUCUCCAAAGCAUUCGAAGAAUCUCCAAAGGCAUGUGGCAAAACCAUGAGCCAAGCCGGAACCUGCUCGUCUAGACAGAGACAAGCAGAUUCUCAACCGAAAAUUAAUUCAUAAUUACAUCACAAGAAAGUAAUCAAAAACCAUUUUUAUUAAUUUGUUAAUAAUUAACAGAGGGGAUAAUCUUCAUGAACAUUGUUCAUUACAAUACAAGAAAUAUAUCAGGAAGAUGGUGGACCAGUAAGCCCGGCAGCAUCGGUUGGCUGGACCUCCUCAGGUGCAGGAGGGGUAUCACCAGUUGCGUCCGGGGGGUGCUCGCCUCGCCAACAUCAGCAGGGACUGCACGAGCAGGAGAGUCUUCCUCCUCAAUCACGAUCGGCUCUACCCCAUCGGCAUCUUCCUUGGCCGCCUCCUCAUCCAUAUGUUGAGCAACACCAGCUGCAAGGUCAUCCAUCUUCAGAUCAGGGUGUUGCUUCCCGAGGACGGCCAUGAUGCAACGAUAGGAAUGCCGAAGUCCCUGGUCGUACUGGUUGUCAGCCUCCCUCUCCAAGUUCUCGACCUGAGCUCGGUGGGAGUCGCGGAGAGAUUCGAGCUGAGCCUCAUACAUAGCCUUCUGCCUUUGCAGAUCCUCCUUGACCGUGGUAAGCUCCUCCUCGAGGGAAAUGGCUUUUGCUUGAGCAAGUGAUUCUUGCUCUAUUAACUUCAGAUUCUCGAGAUUCAGCUCCCCUGCUUUCUUCUCGGCAACGUCAGCUCUGGUCGUCGCCGAUUGAAUAUCCUCCUUCAUCUUCCGGUCGUAGCGGCCAACCUUAGCCUUGUAAUAGGUGGUCAUGCAGCUGAGGUGGAAAGCGCUAUGCUGCAUGGCCCCCACCAGCUCACCCAAGGUGCGGCCGUCAAAGUCCUCCAAGUCCUUCUUGCUCAUGAGUUUAGUUAACUCAUUGAGGUAGGGGACCAGGUGUUCUGCUCGGCUGUCAGGUAAGCGAGAUCGAGGCCCGACAGGAGGAAAAGAGGAAGCAGGAUCUGUAGCUGCUCCACUAGCUUCCCCGACUUUUACAGGAGCAGGAGGUAAAAUCUUCAAGGGUGGGACCUGCUGCAUGAUGUUGGCCCGCUUUGCAGCAGGGGCAUUCUUAUUCUGGUCCCUCUUCGUGGUGGGAGGUCGGGAACGUUUUCGGGUCAGAGCCCCAAUCACAGCGUCCUCCAUCCUAUGGCCAGGAAGUAUCAAGCGAGACUCGAGCAAGUUGUAUGUAGUUAGCAGUUCUCGGCUCGAGCAGGAAUUGGCUAGUACAGCCUCGACCCGUUUGAGCUGGUCAGGUUCAAGCGGGAAGUGGACACCCCAAGAAACUACAACACAAACAGACACUUGGUUAGAGACAAGCCAAUAAAGCAAGAACAAUUAUGGAUGCAAGACAUCUAGAGCGAGCAGGCAACCUGGGACCGUGAAACGGGGUGGGACGCGACAAUCCUUCCCGCCUAUUUGUGCAACUUGACCCCAAGGACCCCCAGCAAAAAAGAAUUUCCUCUUCCAAGCCCCACCACCACCGGUUGGAAGAUCGGUUAUGGAUUUCCGGCUCUUGGUGCUAGAUUGGAAGUAGUACCAGCCGGCAUCUUUGGGGCUGCUCUUUAGCUGGUACAAGUGCUUCACCUCGUCAACCGUGGGCUCGCUUUGGCAACAUCUGUCCCACAAUAUGAACAGACCAGAGAGCACUCUCCACCCAUUGGGAUUCAGCUGACCAGGAGCUAGAUUUAGCCCGUUAAGUAUCCGGGCAAAGUAGGGUUGCAAGGGACACCUCAGCCCGUACUUAAAGCUCUCUAGAAACAGGGUAACGUAUCCCCUAGGAGGCCGGCUGGGAGCAUCCUUCUUUCCUGGGACCUUGAGAGGUAUCUCACCAGGAAUGCUAUACCUAAGCUGGAGGUCAUUGAGCUCGUCAAACAAGGUCGUGCACGUCAUGUAAUCAAUGGCAUAAUCGCGCGACAAGGCUCUGCCUCCUACUGUACCCCGUUCCUCUAGUCGUGAUGUUCCAGAUGGAGACACCUCACCAGAGUCACCUUCCCCAUUCUCACUUAAGGUGUCCUCAGAGCCAGAAGGUCCCCCCUCACCAUUGCUUCCGCUCGUGGAGGUUGUUUGGGGGGACAUCCUCCUAGCACUAGUCCCGACACUAAACCUAAUGGGUUCUAAGGGGAUCCCGGGGUCAAAAGCCGGAUCAGUGAGCAGACUAGGCAGGAAACUUAGUUCGUCGUCAUCAAUCUCAACGACUUUCUCCUUACCUUUCGACAUUCCCUAAGCCCUAACCACAACACCACCAACUACUACCUAAACAGAAGAGAAGAGAAAUUAUCUACAACUAUCCGAGACCAAGGAGAUAGAAGAAAUACCUGAAGUAAUGGUUCAGUCGGUGAAAGUCAGAGAUGGAGGCCUUUUAUGCCGGAACUUCUUUGCCGGAGAAACAGAGACGGAGACGGAGUGAAUGAUGAAUAUGCCGUUCGAGAGGAUUUGGUUUUCCUAAUGAAGACGGACUCUUGGGUUGCCAGCAUUUAACGGCGCCGAAUCCCGAGGGUCUCAUAACCGUCGGUUUGAAAUUCAAAUGAAGGGGGGGAUUUCUGCCACGUCACCUCGUCCGCAAUUAAAUGCGACAUGACUCUUGGCAGCCUUUUCCAAUCCCACGCGGGCGAGUACUAACGAGUUUCUACUGCUGGUCCACUACAUUACCCAACACCAGAAACUGGGGGACCGGUGUUUGGGAGAAAUACGUCGAUGAGACCAGGCAUGGUGAGCAGAUAUCUGAUGGCAGAGUUCUGCGAACCGGUGUGUUCCGUAAAAGCCUGGUGCACGGGGGAACAUGAGCAGAAGUAUCCUGCUCGUCCACGAGCACGUCAUCCGCGAGGCAAAUUUCCUGUAAGAGGCAUAAGGUCAUUCCGGCUAGAGGUCGAGAGGCGAGGAGACCCGGUCGACGGCAGUUGGCAAGACAUGCUCCCCAGCCCGAGAAUCUAGGCACGACAGCCACGCUUUCCCCAGAACUGUGGCGUAACACGCAAGAUCUCACAGAACCACGACAGCCACGCUUUCCCCAGAACCGUGGCGUAACACGCAAGAUCUCACAGAACCACGACAGCCACGCUUUCCCCAGAACCGUGGCAUAACACGCAAGAUCUCACAGAACCACGACAGCCACGCUUUCCCCAGAACCGUGGCGUAACACGCAAGAUCUCACAGAACCACGACAGCCACGCUUUCCCCAGAACCGUGGCGUAACACGCAAGAUCCCACGUUUGCCCAUAACGCAGCAGUCAGAGUCCCAUACCGUCUCAGAAAAAGCGGAAAACUGGGAUUCAGGGGAAGCCUAUAAAAAGGUAGCCAACGAAGGUAAAAGGGUUGGCAUUUUUGAGAUUAUAAAAGAAAUGAAAAAAGAAGAGAAAACGACGAAAAAGCCAUAAGAUCUGUGGCAAGUGUCCCCCGAACCUUCAUAUCUGACUUGAGCGUCGGAGGGUUUGCGCCGGGAAAACAACCGGCGUACUCUGACUUGUCUGUGUGCGCAGGAACCUCUGGAGAAGAAGCCUCACGUGGAGACCUCCUGGUCGUGAAGAAGUUGAUCGGGCAGAGAUCCUGGUCGUAGAACGAGGAGAACCGGAAUCCCGCAUCAACAGAACUUGUACUUGUCCUGUGAUCCGUACAUGCGACCACGAAUGACCUACAUCGAAGGAUCUUACGUUGAAUCCUUUAAACCUGGCUUGGUUAGUGCACUCGCUCAUGGCCACGCUUUUCAUUUCCAUGGCUUCUUGCUCUUUUGUUAUAGAAAAUUUAUUUUUGGUUGCAGUUUGAUUCGACUGCUAAAAUCUCGUGCGAUAAUUGUAUAAGAUAUCUAGAGUUUGAACUUCUUUCACAUUAGGGUUCAAGGAAGUUAACUUAAAUGAUUUUCAAAAUUUUAAAUGUGUACCAAAGAAUUUAAUUUCAUAGCUUAAACUUAUAUUUUGAUCAUACUCUAACUUUGGACAGGAAAAAUUAUAUUUUUCCUUUAGUUCUUUGCCUUGGUGUAUGUUGUGUGAAGUACUUGUGCUUGAAAAUGAAUUGCUGACACAGAAAUUUCUAUGAAUGCAUGCAGCCCAUAAGUGGAUAUGGGGUGGGUAAAGUUUUGGAUUCAGAGAAUCCAGAGUUCAACAAAGGUGACUUGGUUUGGGGAAUGACUGGAUGGGAAGAGUAUAGUCUCAUUACGGCUCCACACUUGUUUAAAAUUCAACACACAGAUGUGCCUCUUUCUUACUAUACUGGAAUCCUCGGUAAACUUUUUGUUUGCACAAUUUAUGUGAGCAAAUUGUGUCUUCUUUUUCAUAUGUAAAUGUUUUUGAUAUCUUGAUGUGAAGGUAGAAAAUUGCAUGUUUUGAGUUUUUGCAUAUUUGAUGGAAACACAGAACUGUACCUGAAUCUUUCAGAACCCCCUUCUCUUUGAAGUUUGAACACUUUUCUUGAAUGUAUCAACUUUAUUUAUGGGAUAUGUUGCCAAAUUGGAAAAUCUAUUCGUUAUAAAACUUUCCUUUGACAGUUUAAUCUAAGCAGAUGUUAAUUCUGCAAAUAGAGUGUGCCUUAGAUUAGUUUCAUAGAUUUGUCUCCUUCUGUACAGUAAAAACUUUGAGCAUUUUCGCCAUAUUCUGAUCAAUACACUCCAACUAGUUAGUUCUUGAGGCGUUUUAUGGUUUCGUGGAGUGAGGCAAGAUGUAUACGUUUGCAAAUUGGCAAUGUCUUUCUCUUGAUGGGUUGAGAGUUGUGAGUGUCAACAGGAAACAAGACCUCUGUUUUAUGAACUCCAAAAAGUUAUUCUGUUAAAAAGAUCGAGACAGAGGCCAUACUAUAUUUAUUAUUGCUAUAAAAGUGUGAAAAAAUAUUCUUUAUUUAAUAUUCUAAACGAUUGAGCCAUUUAGUUAUGAUACUCUGCUGUAUUGGGGCUAAUAAUCUAAGUCGGUUCAAAGUGGUAAAUUUAUAAAUUGAUAGGUAUGCCUGGUAUGACCGCUUACGUUGGAUUUUAUGAGGUCUGCUCUCUUAAGCAAGGAGAGUGUGUCUUCAUAUCCGCAGCAUCUGGUGCAGUUGGACAGCUUGUGGGGCAGUUUGCAAAGUUAUUGGGUUGCUAUGUCGUCGGAAGUGCUGGAAGCAAAGACAAGGUAUGUAAAAUUAGAAUUUGAUCAACAGAUUUGGAGUGUUUGUUUACAGAGAAAAUCUAAGAGAAAAUGUAAGAAACUUUAGCUGAGAAUAUUCAUUUUGUUCAACUUAAUAACAGAAUGAGAUUACAAAGCUUAUAUACUGCUAUCAAGAAUCAUCUUAACACAUACAUCAUUUUCACGUGUAUUUAUCUUUGAAAGAAGCUAAAUAACCAGCUUAACAAACUCACAACUACUUUGCUGACUGGACUGCCACGUCACCAUAACUAACUUAACUAAUCCAAUCAGUUAAUCACAGUUAACACAUAUUCUUAUCAUCCCCCCUCAAGCUUAAGUUCGGGGAAGGACAUUAAGCUUGGUACGAAGAUAAGCAAACUGAUCAAAAGAGAGGGGCUUGGUGAGAAUGUCUGCAAGUUGUUCUGAACUGGAAACAUGACUGAUCGUGAGUUGCUUCUGGGCAAUAUGCUCUCGAAUAAAAUGAAGAUCCAACUCAAUGUGCUUUGUUCGAGAGUGAUACUUAGGAUUGCUAGCUAAUGCCUCAGCACUCUGAUUAUCACAUUAUAGAACAGGACUUUGAGUUGGCUGAAUUUGCAGUUCUUGAAGCAAAUAAGUGAGCCAAAGAAUUUCAGAGGUUGCCGAAGCAAGAGCUCUAUAUUCAGACUCUGCUGAGGAACGAGAAACAAUGGUUUGUUUCUUGGAGGACCAAGAAAUAAUAUUGUUUCCUAAGAAUACACAAUACCCUCCAGUAGACUUUCGAUCAUCAGGAUCAGCUGCCCAAUCAGCAUCAGAAAAUGCUGUUAAAGUCACAGAGCCUGAAUUGAAGAAUUGAAUCCCAAAGUGUGAAGUAGCUUGAAGAUAUCGAAGAACCCUUUUACAAGCUUGCCAGUGUGCAAUGGUUGGAUGAGCUAGGAACUGACUAAGCUUGUUAACAGGAUAAGCUAUAUCAGGUCUUGUUAGCAACACAUACUGAAGAGAGCCCACAAUACUUCUGUAUAAUGAGGGAUUAUCAAAAACUUCACCACUGUCCUUUGUAAGCUUAUCACCUGGACUCAUAGGAGUAUUAAAACCUUUGCUGUCAAGCAUAUUUACUUUUCUAAGGAUAUCACCAAUGUAUUUGGUCUGAGAUAAAUGCAGUCCCUGAACAGAGGGUGUUACUUCAGUACCAAGAAAGUAGUUAAACUCUCCUAGAUCUUUGAGUGCAAACUCUGAAUGAAGAUAUUGAAUAACAGCCUCAAUAUGUUGAGAAUUAGAACCAGUAACUAAAAUAUCAUCAACAUAUAUAAGAAUGAGCACAAUAUCAUGGUCAAUAUGCUGAAUAAACAUGGAUGUAUCAGAUUUUGAGGAUUGAAAACCUUUAUGGAGUAAGGACCCUUUCAACCUCUCAUACCAAGCUCUAGGAGCUUGCUUGAGACCAUAUAAGGCUUUGUUUAACUUGCAAACAUAUGAUGGAUUUGCAAAGUCUAUAAAACCUUGUGGCUGAUGCAUGAACACAUCCUCUUCAAGCAUACCAUUGAGAAACGCAUUAUUAACAUCCAGCUGUCUAAUCUGCCAAUGAUGCAACACUGCUAGACUGAGGACAACUCUGACUGUGCAAGGUUUCACAACUGGGCUGAAGGUCUCAAAGAAAUCCACCCCUUGAGUUUGAUGAUAACCCUUGGCAACCAACCUAGCUUUGUAUUUGGAAAUGCUGCCAUCAGGGUUAUACUUCACCCUAAAUACCCACUUAUUACCAACUAUUUUAGCAGCACUUUCAGAGGGCACUAGAGUCCAGGUUUGAUUUCUUUGCAGAGCAUCAAAUUCCUCUUUCAUAGCACAAAACCACUUGGAGUCAUGCAAGGCACUUUUGACACUAGUUGGCUCAAGAUUUUCAGUAGCUGCUAGAUAUGACUUGGGUUUGAAGAUACCAGCUUUAGCUCUAGUAAUCAUUGGGUGAGAUGGUAAUGAAGAUGAGUGAGUUGGUUCAGCUGAAGGAUGAGAAUAAGAAGGUUGUGCUGAACUGGAACUUGAUGGAGGAGACAUUGCUGAAUGAAAAUUAGGAGAUGAUGACUCUACAUUGCUACUGUCAACCUGAGCAGAAGUUUGAAGAAAAGAAAGUUGUACUGGUGAAGAAGGGACAUCAACAUUGGAGACUUGUGAGGUAGAGUGUUUUAGAAACAAUUCUGUGUUAGGAAACUCAGUUUCAUUAAAAACAACAUGUCGAGCAACAAACACUUUACCAGAUGAAUUUAAACACUUAUAACCUUUAUGAAGUGGACUGUAACCAAUGAAAAUACAUUUUUGAGUAUGAAAGUCAAGUUUAUGCUGGUUAUAAGGUCUGAGGAAUGGAAAACAGGAGCAACCAAAAACCUUUGGAAACUGAUAGUCAGGCAGAUGAUUAUGUAAUUUCUGAAAUGGGGAUAGAUUGUUUAGAACUGAUGUGGGCAUUCUGUUGAUAAGGAAAGAAGCAGUGUGGAAUGCUUCCCACCAAAAGGAGAGAGGUAACUGUGAUUGAGCUAGAAGUGUCAGACCUGUUUCAACAAUAUGCCUGUGUUUCCUCUCAACAACACCAUUUUGAUGGUGUGUAUAUGGACAACUAUACCUAAAACAUAUACCCUCUUGCUGAAGAAAGGUUUUAAAAGCUAUAAAUUCACCCCCCAUAUCUGACUGUAGUGUUUUGAUAGACAAGGAGAACUGUUUUUCAACAAGAAGUUUGAAGUGUUUGAAGGUUUCUAAGGCUUCUGACUUUGCUGUGAGAGGAAAAAUCCAAGAAUAUCGAGUGAAAUCAUCCACAAAAGAGAUAUAAUAUCUGUAUCCACUCAUUGAAUAUUCAGGAGCUGGUCCCCAUAAAUCUGUAUAUAGAAGCUCAAGUGGUGCUUUUGUUUUAAUGGUAGUGACAGAAAAAUGAAGCUGAUGCAUUUUGCCAUGUUGACAAGCAUCACAGAAGCUAAUGAAUUUAUUUGAAAAGCAAUGUGUGGGAAGACUUUUAAUAAUUGUUUGCAAAGCAUGUUUAUUGGGAUGACCAUAUCUAUUAUGUAACAACUGAACUGAUAUCUUUCCAGCUCUAGAAGAAUUUCCAGAAACAGAACAUGCAAAAGCUUCAGACAUAUUUACAUUAUCCAACUUUGACACAUGAUUAUUUGACUCUGGUAAAGAGUUUACAACUUUAUUAUCAAAACAAAAUGACAACAUGGAACUUGGUUUAAAAAGAUUUGGAUUGCAAUCUGCAGAGUAAGGAGAGAAGACAUCAAGUGACAGUAGCUUGUAAAGACCACCUUUAACAAUCCCCUGUGCCAGCAAAGUUCCCUCCUUCUUGUCCUUAAUAAAGCACAUGGUGGAACAAAAUUCAAUGAUUAUGUUAUUAUCCAAAAGAAGUUUAGAUAUACUGAUGAGGUUUUUGGUUAUUUUAGGAACACACAAAGUAUUGGUUAAGGAUAAACAUGUGCCAAAAGAAGUAGAAAGAUGAGUGCAGCCAAUAUGUGUGAUAGUAAGACCUUGUCCAUUUCCAACAAACAACAGUUGAGUACCAUUAUAAGGAUUACCUUCAACCAGGUUUUGCACAUUGUUGGUGAGAUGAUGAGUGGCUCCACUGUCCAGAUACCAUCCCUGAUCAGCAACUCCUUCUGAGGUAGCCAUAUAAGCUGUUCUUGGCCCUGGGUUCUGCAUUGGAGAAUUUGAAACAAAAUUUCUGUUAAAUCUGUUUCUACAAUCAACAGCUGAAUGGUUUGGUUUAAAACAUAUUUGGCAGGUAAUAUUUCCUCUGCCACCUCCUCUACCAAAGCCACCAGAGGACCCUGGAUUUCCACCAUUAAAACCACCAUUUCCACUAAAUCCACCAGUAUUUCCAUUAAAACCACCAGAGUUUGAACCUCUUCCUUGGUUUCCAAACCAGCCUCUCCCUGAGUUUUGAUCCAUAAAGCCACCUCUGCCAGAUCCAUAACCUCCUCUAUUGUUGAAAUUUCCAUUUCCAUUUCUAUUCACAAAAUUAACAUUCCAAUUACCCUGGUUAUUAGUAUUCCAAUUAGCAUUGCUUCCUGACUUCUUCUGAUUAUUACCAGUCUGAGCCACAUUAGCACUAAAAUUCACCUUAGUUUCCUUAGCUACACCAGAAUGAUUACUCUCAAGCCUAGCUUCAUGAGAUAGCAACAUAGAAUAAGCCUCAUUGAUGCUCAUUUUAAGAGCAUUUGCCUCAAUAUAAACUACAACAGGAUAGUAAGCCUGACCUAGCCCUGAGAUUAAAUGUGUAAUGAAGUCAAUAGAGCUAACUGAACUUCCAGCCAUUGCUAAUUCAUCAGUUACUGACCUUAGUUUACAAAAAUAUUCAGUAAUUGACAUGGAUCCUUUCUUAAGAUUGUUUAGCAGCAUCUUUAAAUGCACUUUCUUAGCUGCUGUUUCAAAUCCAAACUGUUCCUCUAAGCUUAUCCAAAGUUCUCGAGAGUUUUUAGAAUUUACCACAAUGCUUAAGAUCUCCACACUGAUUGAAGAUAGAAGCCAGCUCAAGAUCAUCUGAUCUUGCCUUUUCCAAGUAGUGUAGGCAGGAUUUUCUGAGAUGACUGCCGCAUCUGUGCUUGUUGAUUCACCAGUCAGCAGCUGGUUUGGACAGGUACGUGAUCCAUCAAGAAAACCUUCCAGAUCAUUUGCUCGAAUGGCUGAAAGGAUCUGAGAUUUCCAUAUAGUAUAAUUCGAUCUGUCAAGCUUGAUUGGUGUGGCGAAAGUAAAUGUUGAGAUUGCGGAAGAAACAUUUGUACUAAGACUUGAAGAAGCCAUGAUCAAGAAGUGAUUCAAGGCUCUGAUACCAAAUUAGAAUUUGAUCAACAGAUUUGGAGUGUUUGUUUACAGAGAAAAUCUAAGAGAAAAUGUAAGAAACUUUAGCUGAGAAUAUUCAUUUUGUUCAACUUAAUAACAGAUUGAGAUUACAAAGCUUAUAUACUGCUAUCAAGAAUCAUCUUAACACAUACAUCAUUUUCACGUGUAUUUAUCUUUGAGAGAAGCUAAAUAACCAGCUUAACAAACUCACAACUACUUUGCUGACUGGACUGCCACGUCACCAUAACUAACUUAACUAAUCCAAUCAGUUAAUCACAGUUAACACAUAUUCUUAUCAUGUAAUCUGUGUGAAGUACUUGAUUGUUUCCAUGUUACUUUCAAACAUUUAAAUUAAAAAGGAAAUUUUCAUAAUCUUGCCUUUUCUAUGAUUUUCAAAACCAAGGUUGAUCUACUGAAGAACAAGUUUGGGUUCGACGAGGCAUUUAACUAUAAAGAAGAAGCUGAUUUGAAUGCAGCAUUGAAAAGGUUAGCAUCAAUAAAUGCCUUAGCUUGAUGCAGCUUGAUGAAGUAUGAUACACAUUUCUGACCAAUAUACUGCGUUCCCUGAUCUCUUACUUGAAAUAUCUUGGUUUGAGAACCUCAUGCCAAUGCCUUUAACAUUUUGGCAGGUACUUUCCUGAAGGAAUUGAUAUAUAUUUUGAAAACGUUGGUGGAAAAACGCUUGAUGCAGUGCUACCCAACAUGAAAAUCCGUGGUCGAAUUGCUGCAUGCGGUAUGAUCUCACAGUACAAUCUUGACAAGCCUGAAGGUGUGCACAACUUGAUGUAUCUUGUUUUGAAACGGCUUCGAAUGGAAGGAUUCAUUGUUCUCGAUCACUAUCACCUUUAUCCAAAGUUUCUGGAAAUGAUCAUUCCUCACAUCAAAGAAGGGAAGCUUGUAUACGUCGAAGACAUGGCUGAAGGUCUGGAGAGUGCUCCGGCAGCUCUCAUCGGUCUAUUCUCUGGCCAGAAUGUUGGGAAACAGGUGGUUGCUGUUGCUCCUGAAUGAAGAACAAGUUAGUGUUGUAUGUUCUUUUACCCUUUGACACAAAACUUCAAUGUCAAAGAGAGAAUGCUGCUCAUACUGCUUUAUAAAAUAAUCAAAUGAGUGCAAGUUUCAUGAUAUUUGCUGAAUAAAAUAUUGGAAAUUAAGCAGCUAGCCUAGCUCCUUCUUGUAGUUGCAGUUUGAAUGAUGCUGCUGCACAACUGCUGCCGAAAAAAAUCCUUAAUAGAUGAUUAGCAAGGUUUCAAAAAUAAAAAUAAAUGUUUGUGCAAUGUGCCGAAUAUGACAGCCACAAAGAAAGAGCAUACAAAUUGAUUGGUUUUAUGUCUUCUCUAGGAGAAAGCUACAAUACAAGAAAUUGUAUUGAUGGAGCCUUGGACCAAAUUUCUUAUUUAAAUUUUUAAUUUUUUUUAUUAAAUUACUUAUGUUAUUAUGGUUUAUAUUUUUAGAAAUUCUUUAGAAAUUAAUACAGAACUAGUAGCAAGUUGAGAAAUCUACUGAAUGGUCAAGAUAUGAUAAUGUUUAUUGAAUUAAAUUAACAAUCAUCAUUUUCAUAAAUUAUUGUCAGGAUAUUUGAUUCAUGUCAGGUGUAAGUAACUAAGAGAGCGUUUGGGACAGACACCACAGUUGCUCCCGAUGCUUUAUUUUAGGGAAAUAUCCCCUGGAAUAAUGCAUAGGGCGCAGCCCCAAACGGACCCUAAAUGUGCUAAAAAAAAAUUAAUGAGUUGGGUGUGUUUGAUAUUCAUUUGUUGUAAUUCUUUUAAUAAUUAUUGUAGAAAAAAAUAUGAUAAAAAAUUUAUAAUUAUAAAUAAAAAUUAAUAAUAUAAUAAAUAAAAUUUUUAAACAAUAAUUUUAAUAAAAUAAUAAAUAUAUUAUCAAUUUUUCAUCGUUAAUAUUUAAGUCACAAUAAUAAAUAUUUAUUAAACACUUUAAUACUAUAACUAACACUACAACUUUUGAAUUAUAACAGUACAUUCUAAAGACCGUGGAACAAUAGUACAAAAGGUGCUCGUCGUGUAAACAACACAUGGGACCCAAGCAAUAAAUGUUUCUGAUCCUCAACUUUCCUCAUCACUGUCCCUGCAAACAAUUCUGAUUUUCUUGUCUGAUAAAAAAACUGAGAAACAAUGGCGGCCGAACAAGAAGCUGUGAGCAAUAAUGUAAAGCCACAAAUUUUCAUAAUAUUAAAUUAUGAAAAUUGGGCUUUCAUUGAGAAUUAUGGGUGGCCUAUAACCCUUAUUAAGAAAGGGAUACUAAUUAUAAAUACAAGUUAUUUAUGAGAUAGUUUUGAAAAAAUGUUAUUUUUCCUUAUUAAAUAAGGUUUCUUAAGACUCCCUAUAAAUUCAUACUUUUUCCCUUCCAUGACCCUAAGUCCAUGACGUUUAUUCUUCUUCUCUGCUGCUCUUUACGCUCCUACCCAAAUCAUAGGAUUCAAACCUUUGUUUAGGAGAGAAUCAAAGCGACGAGUAAGUUAUUCUCCCUAUUCUCAACAGAUUUCUAAUCACUCUAUCUAGGGUUUAUAUUGGCACGAUUCUAGAUGGUUAUAGAUCAUAAUGCAUGAUUUAGAAUGUAUUUAGGCUUUGUUUAGGGUUUUGAUUUAUUAUGAGUUUAGUUAAUCAAUCCUUGACGUAUUAAGCACAGGAUAAUUCUGGACAAUAUGAGUAUCUCGAAUUUAAACCUAUAUUUUCUGAACGAGUUUUAUUAUAAAAUUUAUAUUUCUGGAAACUAGACAUGUAGGGCUUCUUGAGUAAAUUUUAUUUCAUUAAAUUCGACUUCGUUUUCAAUUUUAUAUUUAUUUUCGAAAUAGAAACCACUGCACUGGAAAACUGCGAUUCCAGCAUUGCGAUCGGAUUCACAAGACUAUUUGUACCACCAAACGAACUCGGAAAAUUCUGAAAGUUUAUAUGUAGGUUAAUAUAUGUGUCUAGGAUUACCAGUUUUAAUUUCAUAAUUUUCUGAUUAGUAUUUUAUUUUAUAAAAAUCACAGAACCCGUUCUGUUUGGUUUAGAUUAUGUGAAAACAGUUUCGAAUUUGCUGAGAAAUAAAUAGUUUCGAAAAUGUUUUUGAUAUCGGAUCCUCUUGCAAAUUUUACAUAGGGUACUCAUGGAUGUCCAGAAUAGUCCCAUAGAAUAUUAUAUCAUUCUGAGUCUUAGAUUAAGAGUUAAAUUCUGAGAAUCAGACCUGUACGGGUAUGAAUUAGAAAAUCAGAUUCUUAGAAUAAGUUAUUAAUUGUCAUAUCUUGUAUUUGUUUAAGGUGUUGAAGGUGAUUGAGGUUCUUAGAAGCUUAAAGGUGUGUUAAUUCAAAUUCAUUUGUCGAGGUAAGUUACUUCAUUCCUACUAUAUUGGAUAUGUAUAAGUAUUUUGAUAUUAUCAUUAUAAGUAUAAAUGUUUUCAUACUAUUUAGAAGAUUAAUGGAUUUUCAUAACAAAAUUAGCUUAUGAAAAUGUUUUCAAAACCUAAUUUCUUUUUAACAAAGCAUUUUAUAAAUACUUUUUAAAUAUGUAAGUUAUUUUGUUACAUGCCUACUUUUAUGAUUUUAUUUAUAAAAUAUUUUGCAAGCCUAAAUUAUUGUUAUGGACUUUUAUGAAUCCGAUACGAAUGUUUUAUGCCUAUGCAUGAUUUCAAUUAUAUAUGAUUGUAUGGGGGCCACCUCUUGGGACUAUAUGGGGGCCACCUCUUGAAGGCCAAAGUGUCGCAAAGUGCCACAUAUAGUGCAAAGUGCCACGUAUAAGUCAUUAUGUUUUGGCUCAUUGUCCGUAGUCAUUUUGAUUCUGAUUCUGAUCAUAUAAUACGAUAUAUGUCUGUUUUGGACCAGUACUGGGUUUCUGUUCUGAGUGUGCACACGAUAUUUUGAUUCUGUUUCUGGCCGGGUCACUGGGACUAUAGGUGACACUAUGUGACAAGAGCUAACCUUUUGUUUUCUGUAUACGUAUUAUAUGAUUUACUUCAUAAGUAAAUAUGCUUUUGGAUAUUCGGAAUUAUUAAGAAUUUAUGUUAUGUUAUCGUGAUAUAUUGUUUUAUGAAAUUUAUGGAUUAUGAUAUAUGUUUUAAACAAAAGAAGGCUUGCAAUAUUUUUGUAUCGAUAGGCCCAGUAUGUUAGAAAUUGUUUUACUUACCGAGUUGACGGCUCACCCCUCGUCAUUACUUUUUGCAGAUUAAGUUUCUUUUGAGAGGUGCGCUUAGCUUUGGAGUUAGUAAUUUUCCGUUUCCAUUUGCCAUUUGAAUAAGAGGAGGAAUAAACUCGUGUUUCUAUUUAGUUAUUUCUAUUAUGAACGUGUAAUUUGGAGUUUGAGACUUUUGUUAUUAUUUUUAUGUCCUCGGGAGAGAUUAUUUAGUAUUAGACGUUAGAAUUUGUGGAUUUAUUUGAAUAAGAAUUGGAGGUAUUUCAGUUUGAAACUUAUGAGUAAAGAUUAUGAUUUGUGAGUAACCUCCUUCUUCACGUGCUCCGCACGUGUUAGAUUUGGGGUGUUACAAAUAAGCGGGUGAUUCUAAGCAACUAUGUGACAGGUUUUCCAAAAGAAUCAGACAUGAAGAUAACAAGUGGAUCAAUAAAGCUGAAGGUAGCAGACUGUUCAAAAGACACGGUGCUUUUGAAGAAUCUUUAUCUUUCUUGUGAUCCUUACAUGCGAGAGCGUAUGAGCAAGCUUGAUAGCCCUUCUUUUGUUGAUUCAUUCCAUCCUGGUGAGGUUAGUUCAUCACGGCCCAUCUCUUGAUUUUUUUUUUUCAUUUGCUUCAAGUUUUGAUGAGUUUCUGAGGUAAUUUGUACGGUUUUGGAAUUUGAACACAAUUUGUGAUUUUGGUGCUGUAACUGUCAUUAAUGAUAUGUAGUAAUUCAAUCGGAAUUUGGAUUUAGUGCUGAUAUGAUCUCUGCUCAUUUUUUUAAAUCUUGUGUCCACAUGCAUUUUUGAAAUCUGGUACGGUUGAGAUUGUAUGUAGAUUAACCUACGUACAGUAUUCUUGUCUAAUGACUACUAACCACAACCUUAUGAGACGAUCGAAACCAAGCUCGGAUCAAUAAUCCAAUCGAGAGAGGAUCAUAACUGAAGCUUAUCGUGUGUGGGAAUAUUUCGGUUAAAUUGUAAUCAUGAUCAUGAAUCAUGCAGGGAAAAGGGAAGUUGAGGUCAAUUUAUGCACUUGAUGGAAUUAAAGAACCAAUAUUUGAUUUUGGUUUACAUUAUUUCUCAGUAAUGGUGACUUUGUGAUGUUAAAUUUAUGCAGCCUAUAAACGGAUAUGGGGUGGCCAAAGUUUUGGAUUCUACACAUCCAAAUAAUGCAAAAGAUGACUUGGUUUGGGGCUUUACCGGGUGGGAGCAGUACAGUCUCGUUACAGCUCCGCAGCUUUUGAUUAAAAUUCAUCAUAAAGAUGUGCCACCUUCAUACUAUACCAGGAUCCUCGGUAAUGAUUUUUGUUACACAUUAAGCUUUGCUUAUAGUAAUAUCAAUACAUAUGCUGCUUAAAUGCUUUCUGAUUUUUUGCCGGCCAUUGUCCAUUUUGCCCGGGAGACUAUAAUUGAAGGAAUUUACUGAAGGAAUGCUGAUUGUUGGGAAUUUGAUUAUUCUAGGUAUGCCUGGUGUAACUGCAUACGCUGGUUUAUAUGAAGUUUGCUCUCCGAAGAAAGGAGAGUAUGUCUAUGUAUCUACAGCAUCUGGAGCUGUUGGUCAGCUUGUUGGACAGUUUGCAAAAUUAGCUGGUUGCUAUGUUGUUGGAAGUGCUGGAAGCAAAGAAAAGGUGCUGUUAUAUCAUUCUUAAGUAGUAAAUAUAGCACCGUGCCUUCUAGCAGAAUUUUACAUGCUUUAUGUUCCAACUAAGCAUCCAUAUUUGAUCGUGAUAAUUAGCAAGGUCAAUAAUUUUUUUUUGACUAUUUUUUCAACGUAAGGUCGAUUUGUUGAAGAACAAGUUUGGACGAUGCUUUUAACUACAAGGAAGAGCCAGACUUGGAUGCAGCGCUCAAAAGGUCAGCUGCAACAAACGUUUCAACUCUAAUAUUUCAUUUUAAUAUUACAGAGCUUUGGUUGAAGUGUGUGAGUUGAUCCCAGAAACGUAACUUCAUCAGUGUCUCUGUUUUCAAAAAACAGGACAAAUUAAAAUCUGAUUUUGCGUUAAAAUUUCCCAGAUGUUUCCCUCAAGGAAUCGACAUCUAUUUCGAAAAUGUUGGGGGAAAGAUGCUGGACGCAGUGCUACUCAACAUGAGGCUCCGGGGCCGCAUUGCGGUAAGCAGUAUGAUCUCACAGUACAACCUGGAAAAACCCGAAGGCAUACACAACUUAGAGCAACUGAUCGGGAAACGGAUUCGCCUGGAAGGAUUUCUAGCAGGUGAUUACUAUCACCUCUAUCUGAAAUUCUUGGAACUGGUCAUUCCUGCAAUCAGAGAAGGAAAGAUGGUGUAUGUGGAAGACAUAGCCGAAGGACUCGAGAAAAUUUCUCGUAACUGCUACACAUUAAACGCGUUUCACAUUUCCACUCUCUCUCUAUAAAUAAACACGCACAUAAAAUUUCUCACUAUCCAAAAACAAAAUCUACAUAAAAAAUGGCGGGUGAAGAAGGAGUGAGCAACAAGCAGGUGAUUCUGAGCAACUACGUGACAGGGUUUCCCAAAGAAUCAGACAUGAAGAUAAUAGCAGGCUCAAUAAACCUCAGGUGCCAGAGGGUUCAAAAGACACAGUGCUUUUGAAGAAUCUUUGUCUUUCCUGUGAUCCUUACAUGAGAGGACGUGUGAGCGAGCUUGAUAAGC
This 48078-nucleotide long non-coding RNA is filed under the name Citrus maxima (pomelo). RNAcentral's name for it is "long non-coding RNA (CMAX_LNC000709)". Lineage: Eukaryota; Viridiplantae; Streptophyta; Magnoliopsida; Sapindales; Rutaceae. The record is from RNAcentral.